CAAAGAUUUCAGGUCGACGGGGUCAAGGUAGGUGUCACGGGACGUGGUAUGCUACUCGUGAGAUAUUUUUACACUUUGGAUCGAAAAUAAACCCAUGAACCCGGGUCGAGGGUCGAAGGUAGUGAACCUGUUUUAUGUGACUAUGGACACACCACUACGUGGCUAUGAUGAUUGCCAUGUGCCGAAUCUGGAGCUAUCCCAUCUAACCUCUACCCGUGAUCCAAUCUAUGGCUUACUAGCUUUUUUGGUAUAUAAGCCUAGUGCUCCAAUGGGUCCGGUUUGUCAGUGGUUUCUUCAUAUUUCCCUCCCAUAGACUUGAACAAAUUGAGCUUAGCCAGCUCAGGCCGAUCCCGACAGGUGGCUCUCCCAUAAAUAUUAGUGGACAGGGCCUGGACAUAGAUCAUGCUAAAAAAUAUUGGCCCAAGCACGGCCCGGAAGACUAUUUUUAGCUAUUUUACACUAUCAAAUGCGCAGGCGACCCGACUUGCCCAAUAGGACAGUCAUGGGUGGGACUUUGUCAUCCUAAAAUAACUAGAUUUUGUUGCAUAGCCCAAACCCAGCCCACAUGUAAAAUGCUUAGGUCUACUCCUCCGUUUGCAAAGAAGCCAACUAUGAUGAAUCUCAAGCAUUUCAACAUUAGUGUGAUACAAAUAUUUUCAAAGUUUAGCUCUACUAGCAGCUUUAUUAAUAGAGUUGAACCUAUUGUGAUCAAAUAGUUGGUUGAACAUUUUUAUUCUUUUAUUUAUUUAUUUUCCCUUCAUCCUAUUCAUCCAUCCACCAUCCAUUUCUGUGACUCGGUGACUCCAACUCUGCUCCGUCCUACUACCUUGGUUUGGUCUUGGGCCAUGCCCCUCGCAACUCUGCCCCCACGCAUGACUCCACUCCUACACUAUGCAUGUCUUGGUGAGGCUAUUUAUUGGGCUCUACGUUGGUUUUCUACUGCCAAAUGUGCAAUUCAUGGAAGGAGCAAAUCAAAUGAUUCAGUAGGUGGAGUCGUGGAGCUUCUCCCAGAGUGGCUCAAGGAGCACUACCAAACAAGACCCUAGUCAUUCUAUCGUUGAAAUUUUUGGUAUCGCUUUUUGUUGGAAUAAUUAACUACUUGCUACCCUAACAAUAUGAACAAUAGUCCAAUCAACACUUAGUCUAGUGUUAAUGACUUAAAGUGCUCGACAUGUUAGUGAGAAAGUGAACUGGGUGCUAGUUAAGGGUGUCUAAUAAUAACUAAAUGUCCCAUUCUUGUUCAACUAGACUAGGGCCUUAUUUGAAUACUACAUACUAUGAAAUUAGAUUAUAAAAGCUAGAUUAGAAGGCUCUUUGGAUCAAUAAACUCAACAUAGUACCCUCAUUAUUUGCCAAUUAGCUAGUGCUCUGUGCAUAGUGAAAUGUGAAUGAAAGCUAGUUUUUUCAACUUCUCAUAUUGUGGACUCUUGACCGCUCUAGAUUGUUAAAGUUGGGCAUAAAGCGUGCAUGUUUGGAUCUCUACCUUGGGCCCACUUUGGUCUAUAGGUUUCUCAAAAUCUCCUAUAGAGGUUAGUUCACCAAAUAACAUAGUAUGGACUUUGUUUGAAAAUGAAAUGUCAUGAUCAUGCUAUGGUCAUCGCUUUACUUUAGAGAUAUUGAUGGUCAGAAUUAGGGUUUAGUGACUGUCAACAAUAGUAUAACCCCAAUUAAGCAUGUCCAUCAUCAACCACUUGAUACAAGAAACAUAUAACCCAAGCCCACCCCGUGGGAAUACUUGAAACAUCAAAAGUUUUCUCUAGGAUCAUAUCCAUAAGUAUUUCAUAAGCACUUCAAAUCAAAUGCAUUUGAAAUAUAUUACUAUGUAAUGUGAACAUAUAAUUUACUUCAAGGGUAUAAUGAAAGAGUUAUAUGCAUGUAACAGAAGUAUGAAUAAUUUUAUGAUAGGGUUAACAUAGUUUUUACACCAGUUCUAGAAACCAAUUAGAAGUACAAAAUAGCUCUUAACAUAAAACUACUACUCCAUGGGACUUGGAAAAUAAAAAAAAACUACUACAACUACAUAAGAAUGAUAGUCACGGCACGCUGCACCCACCACCAGCCUCUUGAACACCAGACUAUGUUAGUCAAGUGAAUGCAAGUGCCAGCCACUUCGGACAUGCAUUUGGCUCACUAUCAAGGAGUGGCUCCUCCACUUGGGUCUUCAUCUGCAACAUGUAAGCACAAAACCCUGAGUACUCACUCAAUAUACUCAGCAAAACUUACUCAACCAAAUGGGUAUAUACAUAGCGCAAGUGUCAAGGGGAUGUUGGGGGUUUCCAGAAAACUUGCUAUUUUUGGAUCCUUAACUUGCAAGUUUAAGUAGUAAUUUUUUGUUUUUUACCUAAUAGACUAAAUGUGCAACCAAUGCUAAUCCAACCAUGUUGAUAGAUAAGCAUCCAACAAUAAUGUAAGUACCACUUAAUUAUCAUCUAUAUUCAAAUAAAAUGUUUCACUUGUUUACACUAUGAUGUUGGAAAUUAGACAAGGUUCUUGUUAUUUGUGGGAGAUGGCAAUUCGAAUUGAUUUAUUGUCUACUUGGGUAAACUAAAAUCACAUGACAUGUGCACCUGAGUGGAUCACAUGCAAUAACUUUUCCCUUGUACUCACAAGAAUAAGGCCUAUAAACUCACCCAACCACCCUGAAGAAUCCAUUUCCAUGGAUCAUGUCCCAGACAAGUCUCUCAACCACGAGUUACAACUAUGAAUCUCUGCCUCCGACUACCACCAAAGGAGCUAGUGAUACAAUUUAGUAAACCGCAUAGCAGACACCUUAGGGUGAGGAAGGUACAUUGGUUUCCUAGUCUAAUAUUAGGUCAUUAUGCAAUUAGUACAUUCAAUCUUGUCCAAGACACUCCAAAGAUUGGAACAAUCCUUAAUCAAUUCAAAUGGGACUAUUGCAAUCAGAACCCAUGCAACUCCAUUUGCCUAUAGUGACCAUAACAUUUCUUACCCAGUCUCAAGUUUACCAUUCAUCAUCAUGUACUACUAUCUAGGAAAUGAUCAUAAUAGUAAGGGAGAAUUGGCUGUGGGACAUGCAGAAUGGUGGCCAUUUGCCAGCGGACACUAGGAAAAAUUAGAUUACUCAAAGACACUCCGUUUCUUAAUAAUGAGAGUAAUGAAAUCCUAUCUCUCGCUAGUGAUGAAAGCACUGCUUGGCUUCUACCAAGUUUUACUAGCAUGGCAACAACUCGACUCUAUAUUCUAGUAAGACAAUUCACUUUGGAUCUUUUUGUGCAACUCUACACAACCAAAUGUGUGUCAUACAUACAACUUGAUAAUUAUAAUUGUAGGGCAAAAAGUAAUGGCAUGCAUUGGGGCUUCCCUUGGUUCAAGUCAAGGUUAAUAGUUAACUCGAGGGUGGCAAUUGGUAUGGUAUCACCAUAUAUAUCCUCCUCGACCACCUCCUCCAUGAACUACUAUUCUUCUAGUGGGAACUAGUUAGCCACAAGGGUUCCUAAAUGCAUGAAGAUGCAAUGCAAUGAAUAUGAAUAGAUGCACUAAUGCAAUGGUCAAUGAAGUUGGAUUUUAGGAAUACAAGAAGCCUAGUUAAAUUUAUUAGGUUUGGUUAUCCCUGACUCUGCUAAGUUGUUGCCUUAUGCCAACAAGUUUAUACUCAUGAAACAUAGUUGUUAUAUACUUAUGGUCUCCUACUUAUAUGAUUUUACUUGGCUUAUGCGAUUUCACUAGGCUCAUGUACAACUUACUCGAGGUUCUAGGAAUCUAGUCGGUAGUACCUAAGAAUGUCAUAAGUAUUAUUUAUACUUAUGUUCACUCAAAGGCUUUAGAGCUCUAUCAGAGAGUUUGUUAACUCAACUAUAGGUGCAGCGUCAGCAUCCAACAUGUACCUAUGUCUCCUUUUGAUGAUUUGCUACAAGGCAAAGAUCACAUCAGCAAUUUCGACCACGUCUAGCUCAAGGCCAAUGACAGGCCAUGACCUAAGAGGAAGCCCAAGCCAAGUACCAAGGUGUUUGGGCCCAUGUGGCAAGGUAGUAUAAGUACUAGAUCUAAGAGCUAAGAGGAACUAUGAAAAUUGUAUCAAACCUAUUACUAUUAAUGCAAUCCUAUCCUACUUCCUAAGCUCCUCUGCUUCCCCUUUGUCCAAUUCCCUUUCCCUACUAUUACCCUAUUAACAUGCAGUCUACUACUUAUAUUAGUUAUCAGCUAGGUUCUCAUUUUAGGAUUCAACUUUUCCUUGUGGGUAAAACAUUGGGAGGAUUCAAAGGAAGGGCAAAUUCUAUAUGAGCAAUGGGCCAUACAAGUCAAGGAUGUUUACCUUGGUCUUUUGUUUGGGCCAAGCAAAGUAAAAGAACUCCAAACUUGAUGGUCCCAUGGGACUUCGGUGGUUGAAGAUGGCAAAUGUAGCUCUGACUGUGAUCAUUUAUUACCACCCACAAGUGAUGGUGGUCUAUUAAAGAGUCAUAGGUAGUAGUGGUGCUGAAGGCAAGGUGGAGUUGUACCUAUGAGGCUUGAGCUGAGGAGGGGUUACAACUAUGAUAGUGGAAAAGCUUCUAUGAGCGCGAACGAGGGUGAGUGAAAGGAAGAAGAAAAUGCAUGCUAGGGAACAAAGUGUGUGGGCGACUGAAGAGAUGGUAUUUGUAGGCGUGCUAGCUAGGGCAUAUAAUGUAAGCCAAGCAAGAGUCACAAACAUAUCCUCAAUCUGUGCAUAUCAGUGCAAUGUGGUAGUGUCACACACUAGCUGAACGGAGUUUUUUUGCCCUCAAGGGCAUAUGCUCCCACUCUCUCCACCACUAGAUUCGCAUUGAGAAGUGUGCAAACACACAUCUCAAAGCAGAUUCGCAUUGAGAUGUGUGUUUGCAGACUUCUCAAUGCGAAUCCAGUGGUAGAGAGAGUGGGAGCACAUGCCCUUGAGAGCAAAAAUAACUUUCCCCACACUAGCUAGUAAACAUAUGCAUCCAUUUGUCAGAUUUGAGCCGACAUUAGGGAUUGUGUGGACUGUGAUGGUUAGAUAGAAUAAUAGUUGUUGUAAUAGUGGAUAAUAUGGCUGGUGCGUACCUGUUCAUGUAGAGUGGUGGUGGUAUAGUGCUUUGCAUAGUGAUAGAAUAUUGUCUCAUACUUUGUUCUCUUUAUACCAGGAACAUACAUCCAUAAGUUUGGUAUUUAAAACUCUACCAACUAGGGACUUCCAACAAUAGUAAGGUUGGCAAUAGUCGGGCACACUACUCAGCCUAGUCGACUAAAUGUAUAUAGGCACUCGGCUUGACUAACUGACUGAAAGCUCAGACUUACUUGAAUCAGGGUAAGGCUCAUUCUCUACACUCAUGAGUCACUCUACUAGAUGGGGCUAGUGCCUACGUGAUGAAGACAAAAUUAUCACUUGACCAUAGCCAUAGCAUCUCAACAUGAUGCCAGUUGAUUUGACAAUGACCUUAUAUUUUCAUGGAAGAUGAUUUGGUUGAUGGGCAUGGCAUGUUGAAAAGUGUUUGAGUUGAUGUGUGAAAUGAUAUGCAUUUUAGCGUGGGGCUUUAGCGAGGUCAUGAUUGGUUGAGUUGAAAAGUAUUUUAGCAUGGGGCUUUAGCGUGGGCAAGGCAUGUUGAAAAGUGUUUGAGUUGAUGUUGAUUUAUACUAUCUUUUCCUUUAUCCUUAAUGCAAAAAAGCCUAAUUAUGCACAAUAUUGACAAUGCUCAUGAAAUAAAUAUGCUUAAUACUUGGGCUGUUACAACUUGCUUGGAGUUCAAUUCAACUAUCUGAUUACAAUAUCUGGAGGAAUCAGACUAAUGAAAACAUCAUUAUAUAUUCCUAAGGCGAUAUUGGAACCACUGGUUAGGUAUAUAUGAUGGCUAAGGAUGUGUCCCUCCUAAACCCAACCAUAUAGCUUGAUGCUACCCAUUUAUUUGUUGUGUUACCAUCCCUAUUAGUAGUAAUGUUUGAAGUUCUUCCAUAAUAAACUUUAAUGAUACAUAUCUCAGGAACAAAGAAGUUACUAAUCAUAAGAUAUCUUGGAUAAGGUUUUAUAAGUCAUAAUUGAAUAUGGGCAAUUGUUUUUAUUUGGACUUUUGAUCUUACAAGCAAGCACAUCCAUUAGUUGCACGUUGCGUAUUUGUAUUGAAAAUAGUAUUACAUACUAUGACUCUAAUAUGGUCAACUUUUACUUCAAACAAGGAGGAUAAUGUGAUAGAUUACAAAGGAGAAAUUAAUUCAAAAAACAUACCUUUAUCUCUUUAAGAUAAAUUCAUAUUUUUGGACUGAAUAUAUGAGUUAACUGCUAUCUUUAGACCAUCCUACAUUAUAAUUUAGGAAAGUGUCAGCAUAUAAAGGGUUGUAAUAACAAAAAAAUAAUUAUGUAGAGACACCAAAAGGAUUUAAGUUUAACCAUGAGUGUCACAGUAGGUUUGUAGCCAAGUUCUUCAACAGCUCUGUUACAACUAAAUGUUCUGUUAAGUGUCAUAUACUUAAUCCUUGCUGGUGUUACCCUUUGAGUUUGGCAUAUUCCAUAACGAUGUAGAAUCAUGUAUGCCCACUCAACCAAAUAGCUUACUAGCUUCAUGAGAGACAAAGGUAUCCUUAUCGUGAACAGUCUACAAUAAACUUAAAACAUGUUAGCAAAAUCGUGUAUCAUGUGCUUUGAAUUAUGAAAAGUAUUUAAUAAAUAAAACAAAUAAACUAUUUAUCAUAUGCAUAAAUUAAAGUACAAUUUUUUUUGAAAGAGCACCUUUUAUGUCCAAGUUCUUCUUGAACCAUAUGUAGAAAGUCCCACAAAUUGAUUGGCUCCAUAUUAGUUAUAAAGUAGGCCUAAAACAUUCAAAUAUAUAUGUGAUAUUUUUUUAUAGAAGAAACUCGAGUUCCCACUCAAAUUAAAAACAUACUUUUCCACCACUGGUUUUUGCACCCUCUAUAGUAGAAAGAGUCGUAUCAGCACAUAUGUGACCAUAUACCACAUUUUCAACGUACACAAAAUCAUCACAAUUCUUCCCAUCGCCAAUAAUAAACUGCAGCAACUUAAAGCUGAUUAGAACUGGAUAUUCUAACAGAGCAUAAACUUUUUAAUUAGUAGUCUCAUUAGCUCCAAUUGAGUUACAAAGGGUUAAUAGUGUCUGCUGUUGAUUUUUUGGGUUGAUUUGGUAUGGUAUUUGGUCUGCCAAGCCCUAUAUGUAGUCCGCAGUCCAGGCUGAAUCAAGCUAGAUGUGAUAAUAAAGUUUGUCCCAUGACUAAGGCUUGCACAACAUCCACCACCUCUCUCUAUUUGGGCAAAGGAGAAAAGACGCAACACAUGGAGAAGAAGAAAGAGAAUUUAAGGCUUGCUUUCUUAUCAUGCAUGCUGGUUCCUAGGAAAAAAUGAGCUACCUCUGUCCUCUAUCUUUGUUUUACCAUUAAUUUUAUCUAACUCAUGGUUGCGGUAUGUAGAGGCAUCACUAUGUAGUGUCAAUGAUAAAUAUAGGUAUUAUUUAUUUUAUUCAAAAUAGUUUUAUAAUUUACUUUUCCUUGUUAGUUUUAUAACAUAAACCAUAGCAUAGAAUAUAAUCCCUUACAUUUGUCCUUCCAUAACUAUCUAAAGUUGGCAUCACCAUGUCACCUGGGCCAAAUAUGCUACCAGGACGUAAGCAACAAGUUAGAAGGUCAUUAAUGUCAUUGGCCUUGAUGACUAACUUCUCUGCUUCUGCCUUUGUUUGUGUAUAUGCAUCAGGAAACUGCCAAUAAAAAAGUGUUUGGUCAAAAAUGUAUACACGCAUUCUAAGCAAAAUAGUAUAGGCAACAUUCCAAAAUUAAAUCUCUUCAUCAAAUAAAUAGUAACUUUGUCAUCUCGUGAAGCAUAGCUAUAUUGAAGAGAAAGAUGCAGCGUAGGUAGUAUAAAACAUUGAGUGCCUGACUGAUUAUCAAUAUUUCUAAUGCUUUUUCAGAAUAUGUAUAUAACGCUUUUUGAGUAAAUCUUUAGGUGUAACCUUAUCUGGGUAUGGCAAUGACUCAUUUACAUCAAAAAGUCCAUGAACACCGUCAAACACAACACCACUAGAACUGGUGUGUAUAAGCCUUUUCACCUUGCAGAUCUUACAAGCAUCAAUCACACUCUUUGUUCCUAUGUAUGUGGUAUACAUAAAAGCUAAUUAGUAAAUUUAACUUCCUAUAUAUGCUACUUUAUAAAAGUGAACAAAAAUAUCCUUAUGGAUUCAAUUGAUUUUCUCUACUAAAAAGUUUAUAUAUAUAUAUAUACAUAUAUAUAUAUAUGUUAGUUAUAUGCAGUUGCCUAGUAUAGCAGUAGCAUAACAUUUUCUUAGGCUUAAAUUUAAGCUGAAUACACAUACAAAAGGAAUGCUACCAAUUUAUGUUUUGAUAUAACAUAUUCCUUUUAAGCAACUCUCAUGAUAAACAAACUAAUAUGUGGCUCUCAAAGAAUGCUAGCGCAGAUAUUCUCAACACAUUUAUAUGUGAAUAAAAAACAACUUUAUCGAGUACCAUGUUAUAGAGAAAAACAACAUAGGUAGAACCAAUCAGGCAUGGAAUAUAUAUAGCUAAAUUCAUGGAAUAGUGAAAAACAAUAUAGGUAGAACAAAUCUUUUUAUUUACUAACCCUCGACAUUGACCUUGUAGUGAAGUGGCAAGUUGUUCUUGAUAGGAUCCGCGGUAGCUGUGUGGAAAACAACAUCUACCCCUUCAAAAGCUGCAUACAAAAGAAAAAAAUGAGCUUAUAUAACUAAGAAAACAACAAACUACCAUAUGUUGCAUAUUAAGGGAAUGCAUCACAACUGCAGUCUGUGGGCAGAUGUGUUGUUAAACUAUUAUUUAGUUGAGUGGUGGUUUAGUCCAAAGAGUGCUCCAGAUAAUGGUUACCUAUUAAUGGCCAAAAGUUAUCACCCUUUUUUCUAUACAUGGAUGUUAAUCACAUAAAUGCAAACAAUGUUUAGGUCCGUAUGUGUAGUGUAAAGACUUCGUUUCAAUCAUUCAUUUCCUUUUAGGGCAUGUUAUAGCCAAUGUAGAGUGCAUUGUGUAUUUGUGCGUCUAAAUGGCACAAUCCCUCUAUAUGUAAAUUUAUUUUAAAUAAAUGGUAAUCUCAUUUUUUAUAUCGGUGAGUCAUGCCAAGUAUAGUUGUGUUAUGCGCAAAAAGUUAGGUUGUCAAAUGAUGAUGAUAUGUUCAUGUGUAAUUUUGGUCACAUGUCUAUAUGGUUGCAGUAUAAAUAAAGUAUAUGCUUAUAAUUGUGGAUACUAAUAUUUAUGAAUACUCCAUUACAAAAUGUUACUUAGGCAUGUAUAUUGCAAAUAAAACUAGAAAUUAACUAAUGGUGUUACCUUUCGAUUAUUAUAUUACUACAUACCACCAUAAUAUGCCAUCCUCGUUUAUUGUGACACUAUGAAACAUAGAUAUAAUCAUGUACCCCAUGAUUCAAGUUUAUUUUUGUUACAAAACUAAACAAAAAAGCAUGUAAGGUUGAAGAGAACAACAAGCAGGCGCUAGUUUUUUUCCGUGUGUGGGUUUUGGCUACUCUUGCUGAACAAGCCUAAACUCCAAGCAACUGGAAAUGCUACAAUUUUGAGUCCACCGGUGUGAAUAGGUGUGUGUAUCAUAUCGAGAAGAGCAGAGUUCAUGAGUUUAGAGGGUGUAUGUGUGAAACGGCUAGCUUAGAGGCAAUGGGUAGUGGAUGAAGUAUAGAGUAGGAAGGUGUGGCUAUGCUGGUCUAGGCGGGGAACAAAGGAAGUAUAAUAAUUUAGGCCCCUAUGGCAAGUGAUAAGUUUGGAGGUUAAUGACAAAUAUGUUAUUGUAACUAAUUUUGUUUUGAAGGAACAAAUCUGAAGUUAGAUAAUACAACACAUGAUGAUUGUGAUCCUCAACUUUGGUUGCAAGGCAAUCAACGACUCAAUCAAAAGGUAAGGACUUUUCUAGAGUUAAGUGUCACAAAGGAGAUGAAGGAUACUUAGGCAAAUAUGUUUUUCUAGUUUUUAGUCUUUGACUAGUUAUAAAGGAGGGAAUAAAGGAGAUAGUAGUUUGACUAAGUGACCACGAUAAAAAAGGGAGGACUUAAGCUUUCUACCCCUGAAGUUUUGAAGUGUGGUGAUUUUGUCCUCGUCUUUUUUUUUUUACUUUGUGAUCUUACCCCCGCGGUUUUUAAAAGGAGAGUUGACCCCUACUCCAUGAAGUCUCUCUAAUGGUGUUAACUUUUGGACAAAAGAACAGGCUUAGGUUCUGGACGAACGAAUUGUCUAUGUUUAACACUUUAUUUUUUUUAAAAAAAUAGUGUCUCCUCUUUUUAGUUAGUUUUUGUUAGGUCAUGUCGCUGAACAAACUAAUAAAUAACAUUUAUAUUCAGUAUCAGGAGCAGAAUAUAUAUCUUUCGUUGGUUCAAAGAAACACACACACACAAGAGAGAGAGAGAGAGAGAGAGAGAGAUGGAUUUUAAUUAGUUUAUAAUGAAUCCAAGAGUAUAUCACCUGUAGUAAGCUGCUCGAAGUUGCAGACAUCCACGGAGGCAUAGACGGCUCGGCCGUCGCCGAGGGCAUCCCGGAGGAGGUCCUCCGUCUCGCCGGGGCCGAGCACCAAGGAGGGUGCGAGGUCGGUAACCCGAACAUGCCAACCGGAACGGAGCAACGCGGCCACCAGGUGCCUGGCCAUGAAUCCCCGGCCGCCGGUCACCGCGCACCACCUGGUCGCCUUCGCCUCUCGUCGGCCAUCGUCAGAACGCGGCGAUCCCAUUUUUGCUAUAGGACACAGUACAGUCACACGUUGUUAGAGCUGUGUGUAUGUGUGUCCAAAAACAUAUACCUCUCUUGUAGGUGUUAGGUGUAUCAUAUAUACAGCCUGGACGAGGACGACCAAGGUUACAUGAAUCCGCUAAAUCCAACGUCCACAAGAAAAACUUGGCAGGCACCAGGCAAGAAGGCCGGCCGGCCGGCCUAUAAAUUAAAGGUGCCUCCGUGCAUUGUUAUUUAUAUUGAAAGGGCAAUCAUUGUGAUGCUUCUAGAUCAUCCAAUCAUAUUAUUAUAUUGAAACCUGCGAACCCAAAUCCUUAAUCCCUCCCUGAUGAGGUAAGUAGCUGGGUCACCAAUGACUCUGUUGAUGUAAGCUUGCUGCGGUGUGACGUGGAGUUGGUUUGGUGUUCAGCUGUGGAGGCGGGAGAACCGGAGAAGCACAUUACAAUUCGAGUCAAACAAGACGCAGCGGGAGCGCUCAGCGCGCGCCGGGGAGCGGGGAGGCUGGUGACCGCGCCCACGGCGCGCUCUGGAGCAUUGCAUUGGCAUCCCUUUGUAUCUUGUUUUAGCAGUUUUUAUUCUGUGUAACCAAUGUAUGUAAGCUAUUGGUAUAAAUAGCUGGAUCUUAUAUGUGUGUGUUAGCGCAUUUAACUGAUGUAAUCGUGUCCUGUACUGCACAUUAAAAUCGGUGGAAAAUAACACUGUUCGCCGAUAGUUGCCGUUCGUGUUCACCUCUGUUCUUGCGUGUUCUUGCUUUUUCUAGGAUAGCCACCGCGCGCGUGAUAUUGUGUGUGAUUUGAUCCUCGGUCCCAAUAGACUCUGACCUUAAUCCUCCAGUUAUCGUUGCACCAGUGCCUGCAUAGAGAUUGACAUUGACUUCAUGAUGAAACAAGCCUAAGGACAAAAAGGACAGAACCUUGGAAUUGAUCACAGAUGGUUCAAAAACAUUGCGGUAGCAAAGCCGGCAACGGAUUCGCAGCUGGUGGAGGCUAGACGGCUAGCUAGGCCAUGUACAAGUACAACGCAGAGAUGCUUGAGCAGGCGCUUCAAAAUAGAAGCUAAUUUGGUUUUAGACAAACGUCCUAACCUGUACAAUGGAACAAAUUACUUCUGCUGCUAGGUGCUAACAACCCCCUCUCUCUCCCCGACCCGGCAUCGCGCAGAAGCACUGCUGCCCCAUGAGGGUUCGCAGCAUGGACCACCAGCAAGAGAACAAGCAACCUUGCGAGGACCACUGCCAGGUGAAGCACAGCCAGACUCCCUUCCCUGCAAACAAUGCUGGAGUGCCACCAUGCCAUGGGUCUCUAAUGGCGAGAAGCAGAAGGCUUGUCAAGUCCGUUCUCCGUACAGUCCCAAUCUAUGCAAUGAUGGUAGAGAACCUACCGUCGUGACAAGGAAAGAAAUCGAUGUCAUAUGUAAGAAACUUUUUUGGAUAGGAUCAGACGCGUCUGUUCAAGGGAAAUGCAUAUAUGGUGGCUUGGCCAGCAUUGACGCAGCUGGUAGGGCUAGGAGUUAGCAACCUCAUCAAACUCGUAGGGUUCGCACUCCAAACAAGAUAGUUCUGGCUACAAAAGACCGAUCAAGAUUUGACAUGGAGCUGCUCAUCCAAACGGCUCCUCAAGUGCUAGCCUUCUUCAGGGCUUCAACCUAUAACCUGAUUGGAGACGGGCGCGCCAAACCCUUCUUUGGGAAAACAGAUGGAUCAAUACAGGAUCGGUCAAGGACAUUGCGAUUGCGACAUGCCUAUACCAGCUAGUGCCCAGACGAACAUGCAAGAGACAAUUGGUGAGGGAAGGAUUGACAAAUAGGUCGGAUUUGUAGUAGCAUAUCCAGGGGCUAUCGACACUAGCAAUUGCUAGCGCUAGACUCAGGACGGGGUUUACUCCGCGAAGUUGACAUACAAAAUGCUACAUGUAGGCUCUACACCGAUCCUUAGUCACAAAUUGAUUUGGAAGAUAUGGGCUGCCCUACGGAUCAAAAUCUUCAACUGACAGAACAGCGAGGCACGGCCUAGAGGCGAGAGGGGAAGCUAUUUCUGCUAUCAAGAGAAACGAUCGACCUCACUAGAGAGGUUUGGUCAAACUUAAAAUCUUUUAACUCUCCAAGUUUUUUGAAGUGGCUUAUAAUAGAGAGAGUACAUUUGAAGUAAUAUUAUAUAAAUAAGUUCACACAUAAAUUAUUUCACAUGUCUCUCUUUCUUUCUAGCUAUUGCGCCAUCUCUAGUCCACGAUAGCUUUGCUCUGACGUGAGACUAUUAUCUCUCCUGGAGCGUUGGGCUUGGCCUAUGAGUGUGAAUGGUACUUUGCCGAGUGUUUGUGGCACUUGACAAAUGCCCAAAUACACUCGGCAAAACUUUUGCAGAGUGCCAUACUUAGCAAAGAUCACACGGCAAAAUUUUAAUCGGCAAAUGGAUAUUUACUGAGUGUUAUUUUUCGGGUACUCGGUAAAGCUUUUACCGCGUGCCCGGCACUCGGGAAAGAUAGAAACAAAAAAAAUCCAAAAAAAAUAAGAAAAAAAGGGGGAAAAUUAUUCUUCACAGUAGGCUUGUGCCCACCCGACCUCUCUAUCACAUGUCUUUCUCUUUAACCACUACACCACACUAUCACUCAUGUUUAUAUUGCAUUUCGGUUCCUCAUAUAUUAUAUCAAAUCAUGUGUAAAUUGAUUAUUUGAAGUUCUAAACGAUUUCAAAUCAAAAAGUUGUCAAUUAUAAAGUUUCAUAACUUUUUAGGACCUACAAUUUUCAUUUAAAGAGUUUAUCCAUCCAAGGUCAUUUAUAAAAUUUGAAUUUCAAAUUUAAGAAAUUCAAACGUAGUUUUUGCAUGACAAGAUGAUUUAAAAACAAAAGGUUAUCAACUAUAAAGCAUUACAACUUUUUAAGAUAUACAAAGAGUAUUUAGUGAGUUUUUCUAUCCGAGGUCGUUUAAAAAAUUCGAAUUUUCAAAAUUUUCAAUUAAAGACGUAGUUUUGCAUGAUAAGAUGAAUUCAAAUAAAAAGUUGGCAAAUAUAAAAUUUCAUAACUUUUCGAGAUCUAAAAGAGUUUAUUUUGGUUUUUGUCAUUUGUUCAUCCGACAUAGUGAUUCUAAUAUUUUUCAUAAAUCUUAUAUAUCUCUCUUGUAGUUUUAUAAACUAUAAGAAAGAUAUGUAAUAUUUAUGAAUAAAUUUAUUUUGACUUUGUUAAAUGAAGAAAUAACCAAAAUAAAUAUUGUAGAUUUUGAGAAGUUAUAAUGAAAACUUUUUUAUUUGAAUUCGUUUAGAACUUUAAAAUUCAAUUUGAAAUAUUCUUUGCCGAGUUUUUUUUACACUUGAUAAAGGUCUUUGCUAUGUGUAAAAAAAACAUUCGGCAAAGAAACUUCUUUACUAAAAAUCAAAAGAACAUUCAACAAAGAAGCUCUUUGUCGAGUGUUUUUUUUUACACUCGACAAAAAAGACUCUUUGUUGAGUGUUUUUUUUUGCCAAGUAUUUUUCUUUUAGCACUUGAUAAAUAGUUUUUUCGUCAAAUGAUCGAAAAAAAUACUCGCUAAAGUAUUUAACACUCGAGUACUCGACGAAGACUGGAUUCCGGUAGUGCGCCGGGAGCAAGCGUUGAGUCUGACGCGCGGGGCAGCCGCUGCCAUGCCCCCCUGUGCAGGCGUUAUCUGCGGCGAGUGGUGGCGCGAGACGUACGCCGCAUGCAUGCCAUUUGCCAUGGCCAGCCUGCCUUCCCCAUCGUCGCCGGCACACGCGCGCGCGUCGUCGCUGACAGCGAGCGCCCGGCUGACCAGACGUGCGCACACAUGCAAACAAAUAGUACACGUACGCGAUGUUUGGUUGCUAGCCAUAAUCUACCAAAGUAAUUUUAGUUAAGUGUGGCAAGCUAAAAAAAAGUAUGGUUAGCAAAUUGGUUGCCACACUUUGCCAUGUCUAAAGAAAUUUUGUCAUAUUUUUUAACUCUACGACAUGUGGAGCCCAAAAAAAUCAUGCCUAAGCUUAGUUGUCAACCAAACAUUUGUCAACUUGAUCAAACUUGUCUAAAUUAAAGUAUGGUAAAUUAUGGCUAACAAAACCCCUAGUCCAUCAAAGCGCGCUCACGAACCAAGUACGUACACACUCCUACGUCACAGUGGCUUGCGUCAGCGGAGCCACGCAAGCCGUGCUCCGUAUACAUACAGUAUAUAUACGUACGUAUGUGAUAUACGACUGCAUACAUCGUCAGAAGACACGUCUCUGCCGCAAGCUCUGCACGCGAAAAAACCGUGCGUGAAAUGUGAAUAAGCACCGGCUGCAUCUAAAAAUAUACAUGUGUCGUCAGGAGUUAUCCGAUCCUAAACCUAACGAGGCGCCGUGGCCCAGGCCAGCAAAAGCCAAAAUAUCUCAUAUUCUCAGGCGUGCAUGUAUGUAUGGAGUCAAAAAAAAAGUGUGGAUACAAAACCAUUGUACUAUGUAUCAUCAGUUUAAUUGUAUAUCGCAUAAAGUAGGUAAGUACUGUAUGUACAUCAUGAACGACAUGUCAUCAGUGUCCUACAUUCUGUGGACAUGUUUGUCGCCAGCAUCUUCGCAUAGCCCUAGCCCGGUGACGGGGUGAACUUUCCCAAUCUAUAUAUAGCUAGAUCCCUCCUUAUCUGUACAAGUACAUAAACAGGCAACAUAUAUAUGUGCUUUUCUGCUACAGCAGGAGCUCGAUACGAGCUAGCCGACCACAUCUAGCUAGAUCUCUCUCCUUAUAAUUAUCUGUACGCACAGGCAUCACCAUUAGCUGAACUACAUGCUAGCUUAGCCACUUGCUAACUUCGCCGCUUUCACCAUUAGCUGGAUGCAUUGGCCAUUUUUAGCCUGACAUUUGCAGUUCUCGUGGCCCAGAUCGAUCUGUCGGACUGUGACAGUCAGCACUUGAUCAGCAGGGAGAGGCUGCAGGGCUGUUGGUGAGAGAGAUGAACACUAAUAAUAAGACAAACAGCAGAAGCGGCGGCGGUACAACAGGGAGGAGAUCAAGGAGCAGGAGCAACAGCAACAAUGCCAGCACCGGCACCGCCACGACGACGACGGCGGCGGCGGCGGCGGCUAUGGAGAGGAAGGAGAUCGAGAGGAACAGGAGGCUGCACAUGAAGAGCCUCUGCUUAAAGCUCGCCUCCCUCAUCCCCAAGGAAGAACACUGCUCUUCCAAGGACGCCAUGACCCAGCUGGGUUGCCUGGACGACGCGGCGGCGUACAUCAGGAAGCUCAAGGCGAGAGUGGACGAGCUGCAGCGCGCGCAGCUCUCGCUUAGCAACAAGAGAGGAGAAGACUACGACGGAGCCGUCAGAACAACAACUUCUUCUUCCGGCACGGCAACGGGGUUGUCGUCGUCAGAAGCCGCCGCCGGUGUUGCUGCGGAGCCGGCGGCGGUGGUGGAGGUGCGGCACAGCCACGACGGGUCCAGCCUGGAGGUGGUGCUCAUCAGCAGCGUGCGGCGGCCGUUCAAGCUGCACCAGGUGGCCACCGUGCUGGAAGAGGAAGGCGCCGAGAUCAUCAGCGCCAACGUCUCCGUCGACGGCCGCAGAAUGUUCCACACCAUCCACUCCCGGGUACGUACGUGCCUCACAACACUGAUUCUCUAUGUAGGAUAGUGACAAAAGUUUGGGAUCCACGUAGUAUUCACUAUUCAGCUGUAAAGACACUACUGUUGUCUCUCUAUUUAGGCCACACACGUCUUCCCUAGCUUUCAAAGUCUUAUAUUCUUUUGUUCAAAAAAAAAAACUCUGAUAAACUCAUCGGUCGUGGUCAUUGUUUUCUCUAAACGCCAUUUACAAAUUAAACUAAACUGGUGUGUCCAUACAUCUGCAUGUUUUCACUCUCUGUCUUUGGUGAACAAAAAUCACCCAACAAAUACUAAAUUUAGUGUCUGCUAUACAACUUCUAACUUGCACGCAAUUCCAUUUCUUUCCCUUGGUAACUGCAGGCCUUUAGCUCAAGAAUAGGCAUAGAUGUUUCAAGAGUUUCUGAAAGACUCAGAGCAUUGGUAUGAUGUUACAUUUCCCAAAAGUAUAUGACCUAUAGUAGUAGUUACUAAAAGGGCCGUCAGUAUCUCUAUUUGUUAUCUAAAAGUUUUCCAUGUCCAGUCUCCAGAAUGUAUUUCCGUAAUACACUUAACUGGUGUCAAUAAUAUUGAUACUCUGUUCUAUAAACUUGGGCAAACUUUCGAUAGUUUGACUAGAUCAGAUAGAACUAGAAUUGCAUUCUUUUCCGGACGGGGAAGUAUAUAUAACUGGUAGAAAGAUUGACACGACAAUAAUUGCCGUUUAAUCAUAGGUAACAACAAUACUUCUUAUUAAAAGCUUACAUGGAACCAGCUUAUUUAUCACAAUGGAAGUGUCAAGUUUACAUAGUUGUUUUGAACAUCCCAACAGAGGUAAUUACACGUAAAUUAACAACUUAGCUUCCACGGUAAGUGGUGAAUGAGAAAGGGGAAUGCAAGAGAGGAACAUGAAAAUGCUCUGCCGUCUGGUUCUCCUUGAUCUCAAAUAUGAUGCUGACAUAAGGGAAGAACCCUGCAGGCGAAUACUUGCUAGUGUUGAAGCUUAUGCGGUAGAAGCCUGGAGCAAUGUUGUCCACGAUGUCCAUCAGCUGGCCACUGCGUCCAUCAUUGUUUGUAACUGAAUAGCCUAGAGUUGCCCAUCCGCUGAAAUCUUUGUUGCUGAAUGAUGGAGGAGCUGAAGAAUCCUUCCACAUCUCCAAGUGAACUUCAAUUCCAGAUGCAGGUGAUCCACGGGCAGUGUCCAGCACAUGGGUUGUAAUGGGAGGCCGACUUCGGUUGGAGCUACCUGUAAUUUCAGGAGCUUUAUUGGCACAAGGCUGAGGGAGAGCUCCAAGAUGUGCUCCAAUAAUCCGUAUGCGAUCUUUUUGAAAAUUUAGUUGGUGAGAAAGAAGAAUAACCCAAAUUGUAUACGUAUAGCAAAUAAUUAUAGUAUGCUAGUAAAGCACAUGAAUCAAUGAGAAUGAGAAUGAAAAGUAUAUAAUGAUGAUGGAGACAGAUCAAUUGUUAAAUAGAUGAAACUCAAUGUCCUCUACAACAAAUGCCCAUUCAACAACACAAUUCGUUAGUUUUUUCAUGGUCAUAGCUGUAAACUAUGUGGUUCUUGUUUCAAAAUAUUUCUUGCAAAAUGAUGCAAGUCUUAGUAGAUGCAUCAAUAUUUUUCUUCUGUUUGUAUUUAUUAAUACAAAAUUCAAUUAGAUUAUUUCAACUAGCAAAGAAGAUGACAAUAUCAAAAUCUUAACACUAACUCAAUGCAAAUAUUCAUUUUUAGCAUUACACAAUAUUGUGACUACUAGUCAAACUAGAUCACAAAGGUACAUGUCCUACUAUAAGAAGGCGAACAAACUCCAUAUCCAGCUGCUCACUCAACAGUAGCUAAGGUGAAUGAAAGAACAGAAAUUCCAGAUAUAAGUAAAAAUUGAACGGAAUCGAUGGCGUUCAUAGUAUGCUAUAUGGUGUGGGCAUUUGACUCUGUGAACAUUGCAUACAGAUAUAGGAUAGAUAUAACAAAACUCACAAACAUGUAAUAAAGUAAAAAAGGGAGACAUUUUUUGUAUAACAUACAAACAGAUAGAGUGAUUUGAUACCUGCCGCUUUAUCUGAUUGGGUGGCAGGGCCUUCAGUUGUAGUGGAGGGAACAGUAGGCUCUGAUGAGAAAAGCUUUGCAAGACGUAGUUCAGUUAUCUUAAGUUCUUCCUGUGCUGCAGCCUCAAGUUCAACAAUUGGCCUAUUCGUGUAACGCCUCUGAAAUAGGAGGAUAAUACUAAGGCACUAUAAGGAUACAAGGAAAUAUAGUGUUUCAAUCUUUAAGUUGAUGCAUGAGACAUGAAGUAUGCUAAAGCUUACAAAAUGUAGUAUAACAAGGAAGUAAAUAUAAAAAUAAGAAUUAUGUCCCAACAGUGGAUCAUAAACAUCAUCCGAAUUUAAUUUUGAUUAGGUUUGAGAUUGAUAGGAACUUUUAUUUUAACAAUGAAGCUACAGACAUGUGGAGGGAUGGCCUUAUCAUGUAUUAUCAUCAAUCCCUAAACAACAAUACAUGGGUGUUUUAACUUUGCCGAGAGUCCAAAUAGUACAACACCUCAUUACCCAAGUCAAAGGCAAGGACAAUAGCAAGGAUCCAAACAUAAUUCUGUAUGUUUUGAGUCCUUCUGGAAGUAGAACUACGUUGCAAAAAUAUCAAGUGCAGAAAACAGACACUGAAUCUGAAGAUGAACAUGACGUAUUCAUACCUUAAGCUCAGCCAAGACCUCAGGCGCAGUCCUCCUGGAUGCGCAAAUCAUGAACACGAAGCCAAACUUCUCCCUGUACCUGGCAUUCCACUCUGCCAGCUCCUGCAGCAGAUGGAGGGGAAAAAAACUAAAUUAAGUCCAGAGUUUAUCUAUGAUAGACGCAAGGAAAGCUGCGAGCUGAUGUAGCACCUGGGCUGUCGAAUCCGUGGCUGUUGAGAGCGCUGCCGAUUGCUCCUCCUUGCUCCACCUAAACCAGAAAGCAAACAGAGAUUACCAACACACGACUGGCGCCAUUUUGUUUGUCCUGUGUCAUGCUGAGUGAAACGACUCGCCAGUUCAAUUCACUGAUUUUAUCAACAAUUAAAUUAAAUUAAACUGGCCAUAACGCAGUGUCAGGUGAACAAACAGCAAGAUGAGGAUAACUGAUUAAGCAGAGGAAUUGAGUGGAAAGGAGGGUGGUGACUGGUGAGAGGGCAAAAACUCCACCGACUUGGAGACAGAUGAGGAGGUGGUUCCGAUCGCCGGGUGCGCCGCGAAGGCCUCGAGCCAUCCGCUGACAUCCACCUUGAUCCGAUUCGUAGCGCGCGCACGGUCAGCAAAGCACGCCGUCAGUACAGCAGGAAACGAAGGCCCGCGGAUGGACAGAAAUUUUAAGUAGAGAUAUAUACAGAUACAGGGAGGUAGGAGAGGCGACAGCGAGUAGGGCGACACACCUCGUCGAGCCAGAUGCGUCGAGCGGCGAGGAGGGCGUCGGCAAGGGACGCGAAGGGGGAGGCGGCCGCCAUCGCGGCGGCGAAGCGGCGGCUGCCGUUGACGCGCAGCACGUCCUCCGCGGAAAGAGGCAUCGGCGCGGCCAUCUCGCCGGCGGCCAAUUCGACUGCGCAGGGGGAGGGGGAGGGGGAGGGGGAGGCCGGAGGCGGAGUGCGGUGGGGGUUCUUCUGGUUAGGCGUCGUGAUCGAUCCAGUCAUCUAGUGAAGUAGCUUGGCUGUUUGUUCCUGCUCUGCAUUUCCUUUAUUUUAGGGAAUCUAAUCCUAUGUCAUCCCACGAACUGGAAACUUGCAAACGAUGUCACUGCGCACUGGAAAUUUGUUGUUUAAGGGAAGCUAAUGCGAUUUGAUCUCACGCACUGGAAAUUUUGGGUCGGAAGAAACAAACUGCCAUCCAAAGGCUACAGAGAAAUGAUACGAUCAUACAAACCAGACCAGUUAUCAAUCAAAAUUGUAGCUUCUAUGAUAACUAUACCGGUUUGUCAUCCAAAGGCUAAAGAGAAAUGAUAAGCUAACUACGACCUGUUUGAGACUCUGGCAUAGUAUCAUGCUAUGACAUGAUUCCCAUUAUUCCUAAUCUUGUAGCUUAUUGGGUCAAAAGCUAACUAGAAGUUAUAAGGAAAUGAUAUUAUUAUGGCAUGAUUCACAUGAUUCCUUACCAAUGAAAAUAUGUCAACCUGUUUGAGAAUGCCAGAAUUUUCAACUUGGCUAAAAAAACCACUAGGUCUAGGGCUCAAAAAAAAUUGCAACGAUGCACAAAUAUACACUCACUGUAACACAAUUCUUGACAUUAACGAACAAAUCAGCCACAGCAAUGAGGCGCAAGAUCCAGCAGCGCAGACAACACUACUAGUCAGUGCCUACAUCGCAUACACGUCACAGACUGUCAGCGCAUUACAUGACUAGACAAUUUAAGCAUUCGACACUAGUAAUAACACCAGCAAAGGUAGCAGCAACACAUAGUGCGGCAGUAGAGAAACUUAUGAUCCACAAAACAAACCCUACUCAUAUGUCCUUACAACGGCACCAGAUUAAAUUCAUUGCUACGACACAAGACUUCAUUUUUGUCACAAUGAUUUGAGGGGGGGAUUAGGCCCUCUCGCCACGGAUCCUCCUUGCCAGCUGAAUGUCCUUGGGCAUGAUGGUCACACGCUUAGCAUGGAUGGCGCACAGGUUGGUGUCCUCAAACAGCCCAACAAGGUAUGCCUCAGCAGCCUCCUGGAGGGCAAGCACGGCAUGGCUCUGGAAACGCAGAUCAGUCUGCAAAACAACAGGUUCCAUUAACAACAUGAAACGAGUACAUAACAGAACCUCUGGAAGUUGAAUUCAGAGAUAAAUACCUUGAAGUCCUGUGCAAUUUCCCUGACAAGCCUCUGGAAGGGCAGCUUCCUGAUCAGCAGCUCAGUGCUCUUCUGGUACUUCCGGAUCUCACUGAUAAAUUACAUUUGCAAAAACAAACAUAUCAAUAGUGCAGCACAAUAACAGAUUCAACAGAAAAAACCAAGGAUGUUCUACUGACCGGAGGGCAACAGUUCCAGGGCGGUAGCGGUGAGGCUUCUUCACUCCUCCAGUGGUGGGGGCCGACUUACGAGCAGCCUAUGAAGCAAUAUGUCAAAGGGACAAAUUCAGUCAUGGCUUGAAUCCAAUAUCAGGGCCAAAUCAAACAUCAAAGAAAGGAAAAUAAGGCACCACUAUCUAAAUAAUGUUACCUUGGUUGCAAGCUGCUUCCUGGGAGCCUUCCCUCCCGUGGACUUGCGAGCAGUCUGCUUGGUACGAGCCAUCUGCAUUAAUUAAGAAAGGAAAGCAUCACAACAUGUUCAGGGCCACAAAAACCUAACACAAAUGUGGCCAGUAAACUUCAGUUUUCAUAUCAGCACAUGCACAUAUUUCUUAAUUUCAGCAUGGUAUGAAGAUAAGGCUAUUAAUAAAGAUGAAUCAUAGAAACCAAUAACAUACUAAAGAGACCCAACAACAUAAGUGAUAAUUGCAACAAGAAUCUAGGAUUCUUGUGAUGCAGUCAAUUAACAUGUAUCAGUGUAUCACCAUGUGAACCAAAAUUCUUUAUCAAUCUGUUACAUUCAGAUUCAGACAAGUUGUUCAGAAGCAAGUUAAACAAUAUAGAUACAAUCGUUAAAGCACUGAAGCAGGAAGUUAAAUAUGGCCAUGAAAACACAACCAUAUGACAUUUGCUGCAGAUUACAAUAACAUCUUAUUUUAUAUUUGUCAGACUCAAUACCUAGCACUAUAAUUGGACCACCCUAUAACAGGGCUACAAAUUAGCAACUACAUGUCCUACAGUAAUGGCUCUUAACAAGAAUGCAGAAUUCAUAACAUACAUAAGUUUGCAUAGCAAAAGCCUUAAUUAGUACUGAAAUCAGAUGCCAUAUUAGCAGACACAACUUCGCAGAUAAUAUCAUGAGUGACUUGAUGAAAUCAAAUAGGAAGCAUCAGCAGCCUAACAGCGACAAGUACAUGACAGGAACAAUAACAAAAUCCACUAAAUUCACCAGAGAACAGAAAAUCAAAUGUAAUAUUACAAAAUAAACUCUGAUGUGGACAAUCGAGUACAAUCACAGUUAACUUUCAUAACGUCCAUGUGUUGAAUUUCCAGUAUAUGACAAUAUACAUCUCAGAGAGGGAGGGAACUAUGUGAACAAGCACUAAAUCCCUAAACUCACCUAGAAUCAGUUUAAUAAAUGCAAUUCUGCAAGAGCCAGGGAGGGAAAUAUGUGAACAAGCACUAAAUCCCUAAACUCACCUAGAAUCAGUUUAUUAGAUGCAAUUCUGCAAGACACAUAACAACUCAAGCUAUCAUAGAUGGCAACCUGUGUAUGACAACUAAAUGGAAGAACAAUAGAGUCCACUAAAUUCGCCAGCGAAUACAAAUCAGAAGUUCUAUUCCACAACAAACUCACGUACAAACUACUGAGUACUAUCCCAUAUGUUAACCCUCAAUAACACUAAAUUCGAGAGGGCGAUGGAACAAUGAGAACAAGCGCUCCUAAAUUCACCUAUAGUUCCGAGCAGGACCACGAUUCCGCACGAGAUCGGAACAGCUCCACCUAAACCACCCGCCACAAUCACUAUAGUGCCCAACCAUUAGACAUCUAGACCCAAGCCGAGUCGAAACUACGCCUACCAGCACGCGACAAGCAGUAUCCGCUAACAUCAAAGUAGACCGCUCGAGUCAACCCUAACACCCCAUAGCCGCCGUCACCCGGCCGCUGUCGCUGCAGGGCAACCCGCCGAAGCCCUAACCCGUCGAUCCCCAAACCGAACGUCCCUAUCUAAUCAAAAACAAAACAAGCAAAAUCCGCACGACCGCGAGAAACGCGGUAACGGCGCCUUCUCGAAUCAGGGAAACCGCCGAAGAUGGGAAAGAGGGGGAAGGGCUCGAGGCAUACCUGUCCCGCCGCUGCUUCGCUCGCUCCGCACGCUUCAAAUCGGUGGGGGAGUGUCGCCGCGCGAGGAAGAGGAGGCCGGAAGAAAAUGAGAUAGCCAGGCCGCGGGGUCUUAUUUAUAGAGCGGCAUCCGUCUGGUAUAUUCCGGCUCGCGCUGGGUGGACGGUCCGGAUCGGUUGUGAGUGUGUUUCUUCCCGUCUGAUCGGACGGCCAGGACCGCUCCCGGGCUCGUGGCGAGGAUCGCCAGCGUGGAACGGUGCGCUCUGAUUGGUGGUGGCCUGCGCUCGCGGAUCCCGGAUUCGGAGGGCUCGGUGCCGUGACGUGAAGAGUUGUGUGGUGUCGGGGAGAGCUGGAGGACGGGAGGUUGCCGCGUCGCUGUAGGCCAGUAGCAGCCGUUGGAUUUGGUGGGACCCGGAGAGGAUGGGUGACCAGUGUAUUUCGUCAUGUGCUACUUUCCGAGCAUGCGUUUGCAGCUGCAGACGCAUAGGAUAGGACAGGACAGGACACGCCGACAGGGUAUCCAAUUACUGCUCCUCUGUCAUCGGUUACUAGCUUCAAAAACCAAAAGAAAUUUUAAAUUUCUCGUCGCAUCGAAUCUUUCGGUACAUAUAUAUAGUAUUAAAUAUAAAUAAAAAUAAAAACUAAUUAUACAUUAGAUAAAUCUUUUAAGCCUAGUUACUCUAUGAUUAGACAAUAUUUAUCAAAUAAAAACAAAAGUGUUAUAGUGACAAAAUCCAAAAACCUUUUGGAUCUAAACAAGACCAUAAUUAUGAGGUCUUCUUUUUUAUAUUCAAAAUUUAAACCUUUUAAGAUUUCUGGUACAUCAAAUCUUACGUUAUACUUGUGAACCUAGUUAAUUUAUUGUUGAACAAUAACUAUCAUAUACUAACGAAAAUAUUAUAGUACUAAAAAAAUUAUCAAGAGAACUAAAUAAGGCCUGAGUUACCUAUCGAAUAAAGUUAGGCAUUUCUAUUAAAAACUAAAAACUUUUCAAGAUUCUCUGUCCCAUCGAAUCUUACGUCACAUGUAUAAAGUAUUAAAUAUAGAUGAAAACAAAAACUAAUUUCACAGUAUACCUAUAAAUCGCGAGACAAAUCUUUUAAGCCUAGUUAUUCCAUAAUUAGACGAUGUUUAUCAAAUAAAAACGAAUGUACUACAGUAGCGAAAUUCAAAAAAAAAUCGCAACUAAACAAAGCCUUACUUAUUAAGUUUUAUUAGUGAAUAAUAUUCAUAUUUAUGAUGACUCUAAUUAAUUCAUUAUAAAAAAUAUAUUUUAUAUUCGAUAUAAUGAUUGUAUCUAUAAUUGGUCAAAUAUGAUACACUAAAAUAUGGUACUAUGCUAGAAUUGUAUGUUUUCGUGAAUAGAGGAAGUGGUUGGAGAUUUGCUUUUACGAAAUACUAGUAACAGAAAAGGCGACGCUACAUCGGUUAUUUUUGUUUUCGCCUCCUUUCAAUAGGUCUCACAAGAUUCACAUCUCUUUUAGCUCUUUUUUUACUAAGGCUCUCUUUUUAUGCUAUUUAGAGUUCUCUCAAUGGUGUCUUAAAAAAUAAUUCAAAAAAAAAUCUAAUUUUGCAAUCUUUCAAUCAAUAAUGAAAAUGAUAAAAUAACCUGUCACCAACAAUUUUCAAUAAUUUGUGUCUAGAAAAUAGCAAAAAAAUAGACUCACUUAAAAGUUUCUUCUCAUCUCGUGUGAUACACAGAUGACGCCGUCAACUGCCCCACAGCUGGUUCAUUACCUGCGCUACCUCUCACUAUUCUCGGAUCUAAAAAAUUAUGGCGAGUGGAGAGAAACCACAACCGUCAUUCAUAGCACCCUAGCUCACACAUAAAGUCUACAAAAUUGAAUCACAUUUGAUUGUUCACUGGUCUGAAAAGUCAUGACUAAAAUUACUGUUUAUUGUAAGAGAAAACACUGCUGGCUGACAGAAAAAUACGACUGAAAAGAAAAGAGAACAGGCUAGCCACGCAGAGGGAGCAGUGAAUGCCUUUGUUUUUCCAAGCACAUAUAGAUUAGGAGUGAAGCUAGGGAGCUAUUGGAGUGCUUCAUCUUGCCAAAAAAAAUCAAGAUUGGUAGUGGUUUUAACAAACGUUUGGAAAUUCUCUUGUGUGCAGGAUCUAUUGCUUGAUAGGAGUUUGGUUCGAGAUUAGCAACUUUAGGUACAAUGACCGCUGAAAACGCAUGGACAAGGCGCACAAUGCCUAUAGCCCAAUUCCGCAAAGGGGUCAAAGAGAGAGGAGGAAGAAUAUAAUAGAUAGCCAUUGUAUCAACAUCUAUGAAAAAUCUAAGUGAGAGAUUUAAGGUUUGUUUAAGAUGCAGUAUUUGGUCUUUUAGCUCAAAAGCUGACUUUCUGUAUUUUGGCUUUUUAGUUGUUGGUUUUUUGCUAUUGAUCUUUGUUAUAAAAACUCCUCUCAACUUCCGACUUGUACAAGCCAGAAAAAAAAAUUAAAAUAGGCAGGCCCUUAUGCUCCUGUAAUAUGGAAGCCAAGAGCCCACAAGGGUAUCCACAAACAAUUUAAGUAAAUCAUUUUUUUAACUAGUAGCAGGAUAUUGAUUAAAGGUAACCUUGAAAUCUUGUGUGUGUGUGUGUUGGGAGGUUGGGGUUGAGGAAGGGGAGAAGGUAUGUCUUGCAUUUUUUUGCGAUGAACAAGAGUGUUAAACAUAUAUUUACUUAAAUUGUUUGUGGCAAAGUUCAUUUGGCAAAAGAUAAUAGGAAAAGUCUAUUUUUAGCCCUUGAAUUAUUGUUGAAGUAUCACUUUAGGUGUCGAACUAUAAAACCAAACUUUGAAGGCACUUUUAAAAUUAUUGUUGUUGAUCAUUUGACAGGGGUUCCUUAAACAAUACGGGUGAAAAAUACUUAAAUGUACUCGCUCUGCUCCGUCCUUAAACAAGUGUACUUUUAAAUUUUAAAAUUUGUCUCAAAAUAAGUGCAAUAAACUAUAGUCUUUUCUAGCUCUCUUUUAGCAAGGUGCAACUAUUACAUGUUGAACUUUAUUUAUAAAAGAUAUUCUCAAUGACAACUUGCAAAUAACUAGCUAAAUAAAGCUUAGUAACAAUAUAAAAAAAAUACUGUUUAAACUGUUGUGAAACGAUGUCUCCUCUGAAGAGACACCUCUUCAUCAUCUAAUCGGUGAUCUCAUCUGGUGAUAGGAUUAGCAGUUAGCCUAGCAGUUAGCAUGCCAUCCGAAGGGGCAUGUCCUUUGGCCAAGAGCAGUUGCUCUUCCUGUACUCAAACACCAAGGAGUCACGUCCGUACGACGUGAUCUCUCACUUGUAUAUAAUCUAACAAGAUCAAUGAAAGCAGCAGUUGUUCACUGUUCAUUUACAUUCACUCUUAACACGUUAUCAGACACGUUGCUCUACGAGAACAGACAGAGGAACAGAAAGACGACGCCCAACAGAGGCAUUUACAUGUCUCUGAACCCCCAUCGGUAAGCAUGGCCAAGAUUAACUUACCGUCUCACAUCAUUCGUGGUCUGUUCUUCGCCCUCCGUCGCAUCAGUGGAGUACGUCGUGGCCCGAUCCGUCACCACGGCCACCAUGCACAGCGUCACAGCGUCUUCGAGCGCCUUGGGCCUCGUGUUCGUCGCAACGCUGGCAAUGGAGGCCAUGGUUCUUUCGGCCGCCUCUUCGACUCCGCUGCUCGUGGCAUCCGUGCAGAUGCUGUUCCUCGCCGUCGCUGGAGCCCAAUUCGCCGUGUCCGCCAGGCUUCUCCGCAAGAACUUCGUCUGCAGAGCCAGCCACCGUCCCCUCGCCUCGGCGUGGAUGGCGCUGGCCCAAGCAACGCGGCGCCACCAGCAGUUGAAGGUCCGGCGCCACCAGUCGUUGAGGCCCCGGCGCCGCUCGUCGAAGAAGUUGGUGCUGAGCCCGUCGCCGCGCCCGCGUACAUCCCCAUGGAGCCAAUGUCGCCGGCACCAGCGCCACCGCGCUACUGGUGCGACUUCUGCAAGGAGUUCGCCUUGAUGCCGCACACACUGGAGUACAACUACUCGCUGCCGUCGCCCACACCGGUCACUCCGACGACUCCAGUGGCGACCCCGCUCCAUCCGUGGUACCUCGCCACGCAGGCUGCCCCUGCGCUCGACGCUGUGAAGGUCGAAGAAGAGGAAGUGGUGACCGGCCCCGGCAUCGGCUACCUCAUCAACCCAGGAGGCACGCGUGCGGCAAGGACCGGCGUCCCACCAUACUACGUCAUGGACUUCGCCGGGCCCUCCGCACCUCCUCUCGCAGCAGCACCGGCCACUCCGCAUGCGACGCGUGCGGAAGCCGCUGCCCGCAUGAAAGCGCAGGCACUCCCAGACCCUCCUCCGGCGGAGACGCUGCCGACUCCGACACUCCGGCGCCUCCUAGGCCGCAAGACGGCGGCAAUGGACCAGCGUCCCGGUGUUCGUCGCACAGGUGCCUGGAACCCAGCGGAUCUUGGCCUCCCGAGCGCGGAGGUCCUGAACAUGGCGGUCGGCGGUGCUGGCUUCUACUCUCCCGACGAGGGGGAGUCCUCUUCGAUCUGAAGGCAAGCAGCGGCGGCGGCGUGGUGGAAAAGAGACCUGGAGCAGUGGCGGCUGUAAGCAGUUAGGGAUUUUACCCUGCUGACGAGCGGCCUAAAUUGCCCUUUGCACGCUUUGGGCUGAUGGCCUAAAUCCACCUGCUCCUUGGUCCCACUCUACUGCACGCACGAACAUGUUUCCAAGGGCCCGAAUGUGAUGAAACCAGUCCCAAUUGGUCCAGCCGAUUAGUUAUUUUACUUAUUUAUUUUCAGCAUUAAUUCGUAUAAGACUCUGUUAGUCUCCUAUAAAUUAUGUGCUGUAAAAUAUAAGUACUAAUUAUGCUUAGUCGUUGACAUUUAUAAUUGUACUUGUGAUACUUUAUAUUGUUAUAAAAUAUCUGUUUGUGAUAUUAUUCAAAAUGUUUGUUCCGGUAUGAAUGACAAAUCCAAUAAAUAAUAUUCUUGUUAUUGUGACCAUGAUCUUGCAAUUAUUUAUUUAUUUCGCAAUCGAUCAUUUUUUUUAUUUAAGUUCCUUUACGCUUUUAACUUUAAAGCACUACGCGCUUAAAUAAUGGAUGCGACAAUUUAUGUGUAAUUUUCUUAACAGUUAUAUAACACGCAUGUUUUAGAGUCGUUUUGUUGGCCACUCCACAAGGUAGCACCAUAGUUGCUACUGCGGGAUCUACACUAAGCAAUAUUUAGUGACUAUCCUCAACGUGCGUACCCAACAUUACCACUUAGAACAUUUGGUCUACAUCUUUUUCCAAAGAUGACUACCAUUAAUUUGCAUCCCUAUUGGCCAUACACAAGGUAGCAACAUUGUUGCUACUGUGGGAUCUACACUAAGUAUACUACUUAGUGACUAUCCUCCACGUGCGUACCCAAUUCGUUUGCAAAUUAAAUUAAGGUCUACAUCAAUUCUUGAUGACUACCUUCAGACGCGUUAUACAAUUUGCAUAAUUAAUUGGCAUCUAUUAUUUACACAUAAUAUGCCCAAUUAGAGGUCUACACCCUUUUCUUUUUUGGUGACUACCUCCAUUAUUUUAUUAUGCAUAUAAGAAUUUUACACCAUUACCGAUACAAGAUUUAUCUUGUUUUUAAUUUGCAUCCCAUAAUUACAACACACCUCAACAUUUUAAUAACUUAAAAUGUUUCGAUGGUUUUUAUAUCAUGUAGGAUCAAUGACUGUCAAAGAGUUUGAAUUACUAGCUCUAGACGGCCACAAUUAUCCCACAUGGGCUAUAGACGUAAAAGUUAGUCUUUCGUCCCGUGGACUUUAUCGAGCUGUGUUACCACCCGAAGAUGGGGUUGCACCGCUUGAAGAUCAACACGUUUAUACAGCCCUAUACCUUAUUAGGAGCCACAUUCACCCUGAUCUUAAGGCUGAAUAUUUGUUGGAAGAAAAUCCACACAAUCUAUGGACUUCACUUAAGCAACGCUAUGAACAGCAAAAGGCACUUGUCUUGCCCGCGGCCAACUAUGAGUGGACGCAACUUCGCUUACAGGAUUUCAAAACUGUGAGUGACUACAAUCAUGCUGUCCAUAGGAUUUGCUCAAAGUUGCAAUUCUGCGAGAAAGAACCUACAGAUGCGGAUAAGAUAGAAAAGACUUUGUCUACUAUGCUUCCCUCUGAAAGGAUUCUUCAACAACAAUACCGUGAAAGACGUUUCCAAGUUUAUUCAGAGCUUAUCCAAACUUUACUUGAGGCCGAAAAACAUUCUGAACUUAUGGUUUGGAAUAAUCAACAGCGCCCUGUUGGGUCUGCUCCAUUGCCUGAAGUACAUGCAUAUACUCAGAAUAAACCCAUGUCUAAUGAUAGAUCUGAAAAGAACUAUCAACAAGGAAACUCCAAGAAGGGUAAAAACAAGCGCAGACGCAAUAAGAAGCCCCAAAAAGGUGACUCCAACAAAGGUAAACCUUACAAAAAGGGUAAGAACAUUUCCAAGAACAGGGAUGAUAAACCUGUGUGUCAAAAAUGUGGUUGUUAUAACCAUACUACAAAGAAAUGUCGUACCCCAAGUCAUCUAGUUGAUCUUUACUUAAAGUCUGUGGGUCGUGGACGAGCUACACCAGGACAGAAGUAUGAAGCCCAUUUCAAUCUUCGACCUGACACCACCAGGGAAGAGGCUGGUUGUUCGCAACAAGUUCCUGAGGAACCAAGCAACAACAUCAUACGAGGAGGCGAGGAUCUUGCUGAUACAGGGAAUAUGAUCGUGGAAUAUGCAUCCAACGAUAUAUUUGGAGACUUUCACUAGGCUCCCAAUCCCUUAGAUUCUAAUGUCUUUAUGUUCUAGUGAUUGUAAUAAUAAACACAAUUUAUGUCCUAUGUGUUGUAAAUAUUUAAUGAUAUCAUCACUACUUAGUUUGGAUAUCCAAUAAAUGUAUUGUACACAUUUGAUAUUCAAUAAAUAAAGUAUGUAUUCUAUAUAUUAUCAGAGAGUUUUAUAUCAAAUUCUUUAUUUAUAUAUAGUUUCUACGGGGGUCGAUCUGAUGGAAGAGGAAUUAUGCCUAGUGGACAGCGGUACCACUAAUUCUAUUCUUAGGGAAACAAAAUAUUUCCAAACUCUUACUAAAAGACAAGGAAAUAUUUUGACAAUCGCUGGGCGCGAUGCUACGAUAAUUGGUUCAGGUCGUGCCAUUAUCGUACUCCCUAUGGGUACCCAAAUUACAAUUGAGGAUGCAUUAUUAUAUCCCGAUUCAAAGCGUACCUUAUUAAGUUAUAGAGAUAUCCGUCAAAAUGGUUUCCAUAUAGAAACCCUUGAUGACAAUAAUGAGGAAAUUCUCCUUGUUACUAAAAACAAUGGAUAUGGCAAACAAAUUGUUGAGAAAAUUCCCUCUUUCCCAUCCGGAUUGUACUACACAUACAUCAAACCCGUAUCACAUGUUGCGUACAAGGUAAUUUUCCAGAAUGUUGAUGCAUUCAAAACUUGGCAUGAUCGCCUUGGUCAUCCUGGUAUAGGGAUGAUGCGGAAAAUUAUCAGCAAUUCAAAUGGUCAUGAGUUAAAUACUGCUAAAUUUCCGAAAUAUUCAGAUUUUAUGUGCACUUCAUGCGCUACAGGAAAAUUGAUCUUGCGUCCAUCGCCCGUCAAGAUCCAAAAUGAGCCACUAAAAUUUCUUGAACGCAUUCAAGGAGAUAUUUGUGGCCCUAUACAACCAACAUCUGGACCGUUCAGGUAUUUCAUGGUUCUAAUAGACGCAUCUACUAGAUGGUCUCAUGUGUGUCUUUUGUCCACACGUAAUCAUGCUUUCGCAAAAAUUAUUGCUCAAGUUAUUAAACUUAGAGCACAUAAUCCUGAACAUCAAAUUCAAUCAAUUCGAAUGGACAAUGCUGCUGAAUUUUCCUCAAAGGCUUUCAAUGAUUAUUGUAUGGCCUUAGGAAUUCAAGUUCAACACUCGGUCCCAUAUGUCCAUACACAAAAUGGUUUAGCAGAAUCUCUUAUUAAAAGAAUUAAACUCAUUGCAAGACCACUACUACAAAAUUGCAAUCUACCAACUUCAUGUUGGGGUCAUGCAGUCUUACACGCUGCUGACUUAAUUCAAUUGCGUCCAACUGCAUACCAUGUUGUCUCCCCAUUGCAAUUAGUACGUGGGAAUAUGCCAAAUAUUUCCCAUCUGCGAAAAUUUGGUUGCGCUGUAUACGUACCGAUCUCACUACCUAAGCGUACCUCUAUGGGUCCACAUAGGAAACUUGGUAUCUAUGUGGGAUAUCAAUCCCCAUCGAUUAUCAAAUACCUCGAGCCUCUUACAGGGGACUUAUUCACGGCCCGGUAUGCUGACUGCAUAUUCAAUGAGGACCAUUUCCCAGCAUUAGGGGGAGAUUUCAAGUACCAAAGUGAAUGCCAGGAAAUCAACUGGAAUGCCCAAGGCAAUUCCCCCUCAGAUCCACGUACUCAAGAAACUGAACAACAAGUUCAGAAAAUCAUAAAUUUGCAACAUAUUGCAAAUAACCUGCCAGAAGCAUUUACUGAUUAUAAGGGUGUCACUAAAUCCUCUUAUCCUGCUCGCAAUGCGCCCGAAAGAGUGGAGGUACCAAUAAAAACCAUUCAACUCCCACUUCCAAAGAAGAGGGGGAGAAGUACGGCCGCUCCUAAGGAUAAUGCUCCAAGUAAGCGUCUGAGGAAAUCAAGAGCUAAAUCCUCCAAAUCAGUAAAUCCAAGCCAACCUCAAGUUGGUAGACACCUAAUAGUGGAUAAAAAUCUAACACCAGGACCAAAUCCACAACCCGGAUCAACGGUGCAUCCAAAUUCUGAUCCUGGGACAUCGGAACACCCUGACUCCAUAGUUUUGGGAAAUGUUGAGUCAAAUAAUGGGGUGAAAGAAAUUUCCAUCAAUUAUAUUGAUUCUGGAGAAUCAUACGAUCGUAAGACUACUGUUGUAGACAUGUAUUUCUCCGCAGCAAUUGCAGAAAUCUUUCUCAAUGAUCCAGAUCCUAAGACCAUGGCAGAGUGCAAAAAGCGCUCAGACUGGGCUCAAUGGAAAGAAGCAAUUCAAGCUGAGAUAGCCUCGCUCACUAAAAGAGGGGUAUUCACAAAAGCUAUGCCCACACCCUCCAAAGUCUUUCCUAUAGGCUUUAAAUGGGUUUUCGUCCGGAAACGGAAUGAGAACAAUGAGGUGGUGAGAUAUAAAGCAAGGCUCGUAGCACAAGGGUUCACGCAGAGACCCGGCAUUGAUUAUAAUGAAACUUAUUCUCCAGUAAUGAGUGGAAUUACUUUCCGAUACUUAAUAUCAUUGGCAGUUCAAAAUCAUCUAUCUAUGCAGUUGAUGGAUGUGGUGACAGCAUAUUUAUAUGGGUCACUUGAUUCGGACAUAUAUAUGAAGGUUCCCGAUGGAAUCCAAAUUCCGAAUCCAAACGCAAAUCGUAACAUGUAUUGUGUAAAACUACAAAAGUCAUUAUAUGGCUUGAAGCAGUCGGGACGAAUGUGGUACAACCGACUGAGUGAAUUCCUUUUAAACAAAGGAUACACCAAUAAUGAUGAUUGCCCAUGUGUUUUCAUUAAGAAAUCUCAAACGGGAUUUUGUAUUAUAUCUGUAUAUGUUGAUGAUUUAAAUAUCAUUGGCAGUCCAAAGGAUAUAGAAGAAGCACGCAAACAUCUAAAGACGGAAUUCGAGAUGAAGGAUUUGGGAAAGACCAAAUAUUGCCUAGGCUUACAAAUUGAGCACCGUCCUUUAGGGAUUUUAGUGCAUCAAUCAGCCUAUAUCCAGAAAAUAUUGGAGAAAUUCAAUAUGGAUAAAUCAUACCCUAAUAAAACCCCGAUGGUUGUUCGUUCCUUAGAAUUAGGGAAAGAUCCAUUUAGACCACGGGAUGUUGGGGAGAAGACGUUGGGACCAGAAAUCCCAUAUCUCAGUGUUAUUGGCGCACUUAUGUAUCUUGCAAAUUGCACCAGGCCUGAUAUCGCAUUUGCAGUGAACUUACUAGCUAGGCAUAGUGCGGACCCGACUCACCGUCAUUGGACGGGAGCAAAGUGUAUCCUCAGAUACCUUAAUGGCACAAAGGAUCUUGGUUUAUUCUUCAAGAAAAAUCAUGAUUCCAGUAUGAUUGGCUAUACAGAUGCUGGUUACUUAUCUGAUCCUCAUAACGGAAAAUCCCAAACAGGAUUUGUAUUCCUCAUAACGGAAAAUCCCAAACAGGAUUUGUAUUCCUACAUGGAGGUACAGCUAUUUCAUGGAAGUCUUCUAAGCAGACUCUAACAGCCACCUCUACUAAUCAUUCUGAAAUUAUUGCUUUAUACGAGGCAUCACGAGAAUGUGUGUGGCUUCGCAGAAUGAUUAACCACAUACAACAGACAUGUGGUAUUGGUUCAAUUGAAUCACCAACAAUUAUCUAUGAAGAUAAUUCCGCUUGUGUUACACAGAUGCAAACAGGUUACAUAAAGAGCAAUAUCACUAAGCAUAUUGUUCCUAAAUUGUUUUAUCCCCAUGAAUUACAAGAAAGUGGGGAAAUAAACAUCUUGCAAAUCAAGUCAUGUGAUAAUCUCGCUGACCUAUUUACUAAGUCCUUACCAACUUCUGUGUUUCAAAAAUUGGUACAUGGAAUUGGUAUGAGGCGACUUCGAGAUUUACCAGAAUCAGGGGGAGACAUCUCCUAGAUGCCACCUAUACCAGCAUCAUAUUAUACUCUUUUCUUUCACAAGUUUUACUCAAAAGGUUUCUUGUUAAAGUUUUUAAUGAGGUAAUAUUAACAUAAGCAUGUGUCAUAUUUUCUAUUUUCCCCACCGGGGUUUUUGUGGGAAAUAUCAAAGACACAUAUUGCCCUCCCAACUCAUCCAUGGUUUUUCCUUGAAAAAGGUUUUUCAUGAGAGUUAUUUCAAGAGGCAAUACUUAUAGUAUGUCGUCAUAUUUUUCUCCUGAUUUUCCCACUGGGUUUUUAUAGGAGUUUUAGCGACAUAUCUCUUAAUAUGGCUCCUCACAUUUUUCCUAAACGGUUUUUUAGAGGAGUUAUCUUUAUGUCGUAUCUCCAAUAUUUUUCCCCACUAGGGUUUUUAAUUGGAAUACCAAUGACAUAGUGGUUUGUUUAAAUCACACAAAUAUAUGCUACCUUCUCCUUGUUUUCCUAUAAAGGUUUAAAGGAGUUUUACAGCAUAUCCAUACAUACAUAUUCCUCAGAUUUUUCCCACAGGGUUUUUCGAGGAAUCCAAGAUUACAGCUACAUUGAUCUUAAGAAUGAUUCGAUCAAGGGGGAGUGUUGUGAAACGAUGUCUCCUCUGAAGAGACACCUCUUCAUCAUCUAAUCGGUGAUCUCAUCUGGUGAUAGGAUUAGCAGUUAGCCUAGCAGUUAGCAUGCCAUCCGAAGGGGCAUGUCCUUUGGCCAAGAGCAGUUGCUCUUCCUGUACUCAAACACCAAGGAGUCACGUCCGUACGACGUGAUCUCUCACUUGUAUAUAAUCUAACAAGAUCAAUGAAAGCAGCAGUUGUUCACUGUUCAUUUACAUUCACUCUUAACAUAAACGUUGCUAAUUUUUCAUAGCCAACAAAAUUCUUCCUAAUUCUUCUUAAAUUAGCUAUUUAGAAACCAUUUGAGACACCAUGAUAUAUGUAAUUUUCCUUGUAGCAUUCGUAUCCCCAAGAAAACUAGAAGUGCAUUUAUUUUAGAACAGAGUGAACAGUCGGCUAUCUUUAGAACACACAAUGCAAACUUUAUCAUAGAGUCUAAAGUUAUUUAUUACCUCGAACAAUGUAGACCUAGAGUCUAAAUAAGAUUUGAAAGUCUUAUUUUUUUUCUACCUCUUUUUUCAAUAAAUAUGCUACCACAUCAACAAAAUACCAUAAAUAAUAUAUAAUUAAUUGUCUUAGACUCUAUGAUAAAGUUUGGCAUUGUGAGUGCCCUUAUAUUCCUUAAAUAACUAACCCAAGCAAGCUACAAUGACAGUAGAUAUAAAGGCUUAUAAUAAACAAACCCAAACCUUGCAACUUCCGAAAAUUGGUAAACACUGGAUGCAGCAGCAACGUUCCUUCGCAGCGGUGCAAAACUCUAGACUACUUUAUUAUGCAUGUGAGCAUGUCUAUCGCCACGGAGGCGCUAACUACUUUGAAAAAGAUUAUCUCAGUGCAUCAAAUUUGCAUCGUAAGCCCACUCAAACUGCAUUACAGUGCAAAGAUGGGGAAUCAUGAAUCAUAUUUUUAACUGUAUAAGGAAAAUUGUAACUGUGACGCUAGUUUCUCAGCAGCACAGAACAUGACCGUUAGGAAGAGCAACACGGCAUUCUUCAAGUCAAAAAGAAUCUCUUAUUUUGUAGAGAGCUCCAAAAAGGAUGAUUUAUCUGUCCCUGAUAACUUGGCGCCAGUUACCAAGGAAGCAAGAGAAGCCGGCACAACAUCGUGAGUUCAUAGUUCUUUUGCAUUGUAGCAUUACAGAGGUCCAGGGAAGGUGCCAUUUUCACGUUGCUCAUUCCAGCGAUCAACCUGCAUAUUGAACACAAUUCAGUGAGCUUAAGAUUCCAAGACAGUAACAGGACAAGCUGCGGGACUGAGCAUUGUUUGGAAACAGGUCAGUUAUUAGUGUUCUGGGUGCAAUCAGACAAUAGAGUUACACGAAACUCUUGUUCAGUUAUGCAUAAUUGAUGUGUGCAAGGUCAGCUAUUUACAAAAUAUGUUUAGACCAUUAGAUGUUUAAUAUGCAUAUGGGCAAAAGACAGCAUAUGGAAUGGAACAUUGUCCUGUGAAUCUGUUGUUCACUAUGCUAAUGCUGUAGUACUGUGAACUAUCAAUUCGCAUCAAUAAAGCCAAUAAGAUAUUGGACUGAAGCUCCACGUUGACUAACCCAUAUUAUUCACAACUUGAACAAAUUCAAAUGCUAAUACUGCCUAGCAUCCUUAAAAUUACUUUAUAUACAAAUAUGAAGCUAUUGAAUAGGAAGUCCAGAAAGAACAACCAUAUCGGUUUUCAUUCGCUAGGCAAACAUAUUAAAUACAAAGAAUGCAACUAUGGGUUGCAUGAAGUUUAACUCUGACCGAGUUUAUAAUGAAUAGUAUUAACAUUUAUGUCUUUUUUGCCAACUAGGUUACUACAAAAAUAUACUUCGUAAUCAAUUUAAUGAUACUUGUUUUGUAUAAAUGUUAGUAUAUUUUUAUAUAAUUUUGCUCAAACUUUAAAUCGUAAGACUUCUUGAAAAAACGAAAAUUGCAUUCUUGUGGAUGGAGCACUUGAAUCUCGGUUAAGCAGUUCUGUUCAGAUGGUUAACCUUUCACUGAAAAAAUUCAAUAUAUCAUGAACCAAGACUAUUUUUUACAUCACUGUACUCAUGGUUAUUAAAGAGAAAAUUAAUAUCCAAAGCACUACAGUAUCAGGUUUAUUAUGAACUCAUAAGAUUAUGCCCGAUCUCUAUAUAACCUUUGCCUAGCCUUGAUAAUGGAAAAAUGGAAACCUUGCUAGUAAAGGCGAAUCAAUUUGGCUCAGUCCUGAAGCUAAGAAAUCCAUGCCCACCUGACCCACCAAAGCCCACGUAGGCAAAAAAAAAAAAAAACAAACAAAAACAAAAUUAUACUCCUCCAUGACUUCACUAAGCAAGGACAAGGUGAAGCAGCAUAUCCAACCAUUUAGAAGUCUAUAAAAUCCAAGCAUGUCCUAAAGUUCACGUAUUUUAUCUAGGUAAAACACAGUAAUAGUAUUAGACAGCUAAACAUUGUGUGCUACUGUAAAGUGAAUGCUUAUCAACUCGAAAUGUGUAAUCCACAUGCCUCAGAAAGUAUUUUUUUCUAAUCUCAACACCACAACAAGCAACAAGGGCAGAAUGUAAACCAUAGUGGUGAAAGCAAUAAAUACAUACCCAUUCACCUGGGCACAGGGAUCGAUAGUACUUGGCAAACUUAUCACACUCAGGUGCAUCCUCACCUUUUGCAGCAACACACCUGAUUAAAUAACCAGUGUUAUUGAGAAGACUAAUCAUGGCGAUCCUUAUUUAUAUUGACUUUAUUAAAAUCACAAUGACAAACCCUACCUGUGGUAUUCAACAUAGCGUGUGAAACAGUGCCUCGUUUGAUUUGUUGUUGGGAAACGAAAAUCUGCUGGAGCUGUUUCAAUCUGUAUAUUGAAAUUUCAAAGCAUUUAGCAUCCAUCAACAUGAAACUACAGAGUGUAUCACCAUCAGGUUUUUUUUUACAGCAACAAACCUUGAUCUCAGGUUUCUCAGCCUCUUCCUCCUCAGUGGUCUCACUUGCUUCCUCUGCAGCAGGUGUUUCCUCUGCAGCAGUGUUAGUUUCUUCUGCUUCUGACUUUUCAGCAGUAUCUUGUACUUCAGAAGUUUCAUUCUUGUCUUCUACAGAUGGAGGAGCUUCAUCAUUGGUUGAGGGAGCAGCUUCAGUCUCAGUACCACUAGAGGGCUUCUCCUCAGCUGCCUUUUCCACUGCAACUUCUUGUGGUGGAAGUGAAUAUUCCUACAAAUGAAGCAUGAAUUCAAUAACACUUCUAUGGAUCAUAAAUUUUGAAAUAAAUGUGCAAAUCAAAGAGGAAUGAGCUUGCAGAAGAACUAGAGUAUUAUUCAUCGCAUAUAGCUAGUGAAGUUUAAGACAAGCAAUUCACAUCAAAAGAGAUCAUUUUUUGCAUCUAAGAUCUAACAUUGAAAGUUGGCCAACAUGCAUUGCAACUUUGAGAAAUGAACCUAUUGACACAUAUGUAGCCAUGAUGGUGUACUACACUUGAGAUUCCUUACAAGUUCUUGCAAGCCACAGACAAUGAAAUUGUCGUAACUUGUAAGUGAAAACUGUAUUCAAGAAGGGAGCACAUGUAGGAGCCUUACUCAAUAACAACCAAAUUGCCCCAAUUCAUAUACAACUAGUGCAGUGUAGCAAUUACCAAGCAAGAAGUACAUGAACCCAUAAUACCAGCCCCAUCAGAUUAAAAUAUAUAACAACACAACCAACUUCAACAUAGGAGACCAAUUACAUGUGCACUCAAAAGUUCCAUACAAAGAUUGUAGAUAUGAGCACAUCCGGACACUAUGAUCUUGGUAAAUAUUGGACAGUAUAGAUAAACAAUGUCCUAUGCUCAUGACCACAUAAAGAAAAUGGUACAUAUGCAUCAGAACAAUCUUGUACAGAAAAAAAAUCAAAAAAUGGCCACCUUUGGGACUGCCACCUAAUGUACCCAAUUAGAACCUACCCUAGUGCUUUCUAAACCACUGAUACGAAAACUAAGAGAUCUGAAAGUGAAAGGUACUUUCCAUUGCUAAAAGGAAACACUCUGCUUUCUCCUGAGAAAUCUGAGCCUUUGAGCAUACUACCAAAAACCUAUACAGGAAGUUAUCCUCUCUAUAAACUCCAAUUCACAUGCAAAACCACCGACUCUAUACUUAAACCACCUACAUCAUAUUCGAUUCUCCUAACAACAGUUAGUGAAGAUCUAUUUUGUGAUUCUCCCUCCAGACCAUCCACAGGUUCAAACUAAUACUGUCUAAAGCAACUAUUGAGAACCAUCCUAUCCAUUUACAAUCUACUAUUCAAACUUUGACUGGGUUUCUUAUGCUCAUGCAAAUUGUUAUAAGUAUAAUUCUUCAUGGUGAUUCUAGUACAUCUUUUUGCGGCUUUAAAUAACUAUAUAUUUGAAAAUUAUUAACAGACAAAGUUUGAAUAAUAAAAGUCAAAGUUAACAGAAAUUUGCAAACGAGGUGAGUACCACUCAUAAUUCUUCUAACAUUCUAGAAGAAUUCAGACACCAAGUGGUCAAUACUUAGCUACAAAAAUCCUAGGAAUCAAAAUAAAGAAUAAUAAGUUUUCUAUAAACUAGAAAUUUGAAAAGAAUCAGGUAAUAAGAACACAUGUCCUUUGUAAAAGACUAAAUGAAAAGAUAUUAGCAUAGUGGCACUAUUCUUUCCUUACAAAGAACAUAUCUAAUACUAAAAAAAUUGUCUCAAAAUAUCUAAUCACAAGAAAAGUCCUUAAACUAUUUUGAUACCACAGGACUCAUAGCAAAAUGCAUAGUGUUGCAUAACCGCCAGCUCUUCUGGAGCAUUUAUGCGUCACCAUCUCUUUUCUAGAUUACCAGAAAUCCUUAUAGCCGAUCAGCCUUGAUGGCUUUCAUCCUAAACUCUACAAGACUACUCAGAAGCUUCUACGCGCUUAGGCACCAAACUUGCACGAGAGACUACUAAGCACCACCACCAACUACGGCAUACCUAACACAAACUUCGAAUCUAUCAGCAUUCCACAAGGGCCUAAUUAACAUGUAACACGACUACCAAACAAAAUCGAAACUAGCAGCAGGUAACCUGAUGUUCCUCCUCAACUCAAAACCCUGAACAUCUACGCAUACAAGUCCCAAAAAUCCCACUAAAUCGACCACUCGCCAUUUCGGAAUCAACAGCGGCAAGCAAAUGGUCCCUACUACUAGCAAACCCAAAUCCGAACGCCUAGCGUAACCCGAUGACCCGCACGGUGCCAGAUCUGGGGGGGCGCCCGCUAGAUCCGUCCCAACGGGGUCGCGAAGUACAGAUCGGGAGGUCCGGUGCACCAGACGAGAUGAUGGACUUAGAGGAGUCCGGGUGCUGCGUACCUCAGCGAGGGACGGCGUCUUGGCUUCCGCGGCCAUGGGCGCAGCAGCAGCCUCGAAGCUUCUAGAAGUGGCGGCUGCGAGGAGUGAGGGAGAAGAGGGGAAGGAGUCGACUCAGGCCUCGGAGCGAUAGAAAAGGGUGGGUGGCGAGGGCCGAAGCGAGGGACUUUUCCGGGGGCCUGCGAAGUGUACGAGUGAUCUGGGCCGUUCUAUCAGAAAGCAACCGACAUGAGGCAAAUGGGCCGUUCUCUCUCUUUGCAACUGGUUAGUAGGGCCUUGUUUAGUUCACCCCGAAAUCAAAAAGUUUUCAAAAUUCCCCGUCACAUCGAAUCUUGCGGCGCAUGUAUGAAGCAUUAAAUAUAGAUAAAAACAAAAACUAAUUACACAAUUUGUCUGUAAAUCGCGAGACGAAUCUUUUGAUCCUAGUUAGUUCAUGAUUGGACAAUAUUUGUUAAAUAAAAACGAAAGUGCUACAGUAGCGAAAUCCGAAAUUUUUUCGGAACUAAACAAGGCCUAGGUAGGUAAAGUUUACCGUCUGUCACAUCGAAUAUUUGGACACAUACAUAGAGUACUAAAUAUAGAAUAUUUACAAAACUAAAAACAUAGAUAGAGAGUAAUUUACGAGACGAAUCUUUUGAGCCUAAUUAGUCCAUAAUUGGACACUAAUUUUUAAAUAAGACGAAAAUGCUACUCCCUCCAUCCCAAAUUGUAAGUCAUUCCAAGAAUCUUGGAGAGUCAAAACAUUUUCACGUUUGACCAAAAUUAUAGAGAAAAAUACUAAGAUUUGUAACGUAAAGUGAAUAUACUAUGAAAAUAUAAUUAAGAAAGAAUCUAAUGAUACUUAGUUAGUACCAUAAUAAUUAUUAUUUUAUAAUAUAAAAUUGGUCAAACUUAGAACACCAAGAUUCUUGGAAUGACUUACAAUUUGGGAUGGAAGAAGUAUAUGUUAAACUUUAACACACCCCAAACACCCCGCUGUCGACAAAGAAUAUAAUUAUAGAAAACACGUCGAUCAAACUAGCUUAAGUCUUAUUUGGUGAAUUUCGGCUCCUGCUGCUAUACUGAUUUAUUAUGAUAGAAAAGUAAUAUUAUAUGUUGAAAUUAGUGCUAAUAAGUUCAAACAAACGGUGUGUAAAUUUAACCAAAUUUAUAGUAAAUACCAUUAGCAUUUAUGUCUCUAAAUAAAUUUAUUAUAAAAUUAUAUUGUAUAACUAAUUUAAUGAUACUUAUUUUGUUUCAUAAGUAUAAGUAUUUUUUAUAUAGUUUCAAUCAAACUUUAAAGUGUUUAAAUCCUUGGAAUGCGAGAAUUACAUCUUUUUGUGGGCAGAGAGAGUAUUUUCUAACUUCAACUUUAGAAAAAAUCAUUUUAUUAAAAUAACUUCUUCUUAUCAUAGAAAAUAGCAAAUGUCUAGAAUAUUUUUUUCUAUAUCCACUUUAUCUCUCCCACGCUCGCCACACUACACACAUCUCUUCCUUCUUCUCGCAUGCUUCCGCUGGAUGCUACACCACCGUUGCAAGUCCGUUCGCUUGUCUUAUCAGUCGUAUUUUUUCUAUCAGUCAACAAUAUUUUUCUUUCACGAUAAAUCAACGAAUAAUAUUUUCAGUCAUAGCUUUUCAAACCAGCGAACAUGCUUGCGUGGCCCUGCGUUGACUCGUCUUUGGUCCUCCCAUCGUUGGGCCACCCUCAUGUCGAGAAAUGAAUUUUGACAAAUAGUUGGAGAUGUUUAGCAUCCUAAUCUUCGGGUGCCAUGCAAUCUAGCACUCCACUAUUACGCAAAUCAAAGAUAGAAAGUUUCUUUGUUUUAGGAUAUGCCUCAGAAGCGUAGCCAAAUUGAUCUCGGAACUCUGGUAAGCUAGCUACCAUGCACAGACGACCUGGUGAGAGUCUGAGAUGAUUGUAACAACUUUUAAAAAAGGGGGUCGAUUACAUUUGGAAAGCCGUCAUCAUCAUCAUGCAUGUGUGUAGUGCCUAACUAAUUAACAACAUCAUCCUUUUUGCCUGCACGGCGAUGUGUUUGUCGAGCCAUGCGCGCUUUGGAUUUGGAUUUACAUGCCUGCCUCCGAUCUGAUAAUGAUACUCUGUUUUCUAUCGCAAAAAAAGAAACAAAAACGAGAGGGGAUAGUUGUUCCUCUUUUGAUGCUACAUGCUCAGGGUCCGGCGUGGCGGGCACAUGGUCGAUACGCGCAUGCCAACCUAUUCUUUUGCGAUUCCAAGGUCCGUCGAUGUGUCUCGUUUUGGUCCCCUUGUCUGUUGUUUUCAGGCCUGGUUUAGUUCAUCUUAAAAUUUAAAAACUUUUUAAAAUUUUCUAUCGUAUUAAAUCUUACGAUACAUUAAAUAUAAAUUAAAAAUAAUUAAUUAUACAGUUAGUCUGUAAUUUACGAUAUGAAUUUUUUUAAUCUAAUUAAUUUAUGGUUAAAAUAAUUAUUAAAUACAAACAAAAAUAUUACAGUACUAAAAUCUAAAAACUUUUUGACGUAAAAACCAGGCAUGCAAGGCUGGAUGUUCUCGGCGUCCGAGGAAACUCUUGUGAUAGUGCCACACUGGUGCUUUUGUUUUUAUAAAAGCUAGGCCUUGUUUAGUUUAAAAAAAUUAUAAAAUUUUUUAGAUUUUCUGUCACAUCAAAUCUUACGGCAUAUGCAUUGAACAUUAAAUAUAGAUAAAAAAAUAACUAAUUGCAUAUUUUACCUGUAGUUUGUGAGACGAAUCUUUUAAGCCUAAUUAGUUCAUGAUUGAACAAUAUUUGUCAAAUACAAACGAAAAUGUUACAGUGUCCUUUUUGCAAACUUUUUGGAACUACAGGUCUUGUUUACAUCCAAAAAGUUUUUGGAUUUUGAUACUGUAGCACUUUCGUUUUAUUUGUGAAACAUUGUCCAAUUAUGGAGUAACUAGACUUAAAAGAUUCGUCUCGUGAUUUACGGGCAAACUGUGCAAUUAGUCUUUAUUUUUAUCUAUAUUUAAUGCUCCAUGCAUGUGCUGUAAGAUUCACUGUGACAAAGAAUCUUGAAAAGUUUUUUGAUGUGACGGAAAAUCUUGAAAUACUCCAGUAAUUUUGUACAGAAAGGAGAAGUAAAAUUAAAAUGUAUUUCUCUUGUACUGUUUUAUUACGUACUACGCACACGCAAAAUGUACAAACUGCUUGGUUUCCCGCCGCCACACGCUACAUGCUGCUUGUGGCGCCACCGAGACCGUCGUGGCAUAUAUAGAAAUUUAAGUCACGGCUGUGACAGAAAACCAACUAGUAGAAGUUUUGUGGCGUGACGCAAAAUUAGCUAGUAACUUUUUUCUUUAGCAAGGAGACCUUUGCAUGGCGUGGCAAAACUACGCGGGCAACUGAACGAUUAAUCAGGCCACUAUCAUUUACCUUACUGUUUUUUUUUGCGAGGAUUACUGAAUCUAGUUAAGAUGGUUUUAGUUUCUGGAAACGAGUGAAACAAACAAUGGUAAAAUAUAGUAGCAAAUUACUAUAAAAAGUACCUCUUUUUUCCCUGUCAGGAACGUAGUAAUAUACAAAUCUCAGACCUUGUUUAGUUACACCUAAAAUCUAAAAACUUCUCAAGAUUCUUACACCGAAUCUUACGAUAUAUGAAGCAUUAAAUAUAGAUAAAAAUAACUAAUUAUACAGUUUGUCUAUAAUUUACAAGACAAUUUUUUUGAACUUAGUUACUCUAUGGUUAAACAAUAAUUGUCAAAUACAAACAAAAAUGUUACAAUACCAAAAAAAUUUCCACCCACAAAACUAAACAUGAGUGUAAAGUUAAAACCAGAUAUCGAUGCUAUUCCAAAAAUUUUUGGAAAAUCGACACCGUAGAAAUUUCGUUUGUAUUUAACAAAUAUUGUCUAAUCAUGGACUAACUACACUUAAAAGAUUCGUCUCAUCUUAUUCCGACCAAACUGUGUAAUUAGUUUUUUAUUUUCGUCUAUAUUUAAUACUCAAUGCAUAUGUCUAAAGAUUCGAGGUGACGGGGAAUCUAAAAAGUUUUGUAAAAUUUUUUGGGACUAAACAAGGCCUAAGUUUAAUUGAAAACCGUAUAAAGUUUGAUUAAAAAUAUUCAGAUAUCGAAAGCUAUGGCCCUGACCCCUCCCCUGUGUCUGUGUUAGACUUGGACGGCGACCCACCGGCUUGGCAACUCCCCGGACGGCAAGCGCGGCGACACAUGGCCGGGGUACAGUACAGCGCUACGUCUCUUUCUCCCCGCUCGCGCGGCCCAGUGCAAGUGCCGACCUCAAACUCAACUCCGCCUCCACUCCUGGACCAGCUGACCUCCCGCUCCCGCUCCCGCUCCGCCCCAUUCCCACCACCACCACCGGGGCCCAGACAGGCGCCCAAUCUCCACCCCACGCCGCGCCUUCGCCGUCUUCUUCCUCUGCUGCGGUCGGUUAGCCUGGCCGUGGCCGCCUCCUGCUCUUCUUCGAUCUCGCGCUGCGAGCUGCGAUAUGGAGCGGUACGAGGUGAUUAGGGACAUCGGGUCGGGCAACUUCGGGGUGGCCAAGCUCGUCCGGGACGUCACCACCAAGGAGCUCUUCGCCGUCAAGUUCAUCGAGAGAGGGCAGAAGGUAAUCAAUCAAUCGCAAAUCAUCGCCCGCCCUUUACCUUCCUCAAUCCCCCUCUUCAAAGAUCAUUUUUCCCCCCUCCCCUCCUCCUCCUCCAAAGGAGUCUCCUUGGUGAACAUACGCGACUAGCCUGCUUCGUCUCUUCCGCGUCGUCGUCUGAUCGCGAACGCGAGCACCCCUCCAAAAUGUUGGGGGAUUCAGUUUCGUCCUGAAAUCUCAGCGGCCUUCAGAUCCAUCAGACGGAGGUUUGCACUCCACGUUCGAGACUACAGAUGCAUCGGCCCGAGUGAUUUUGUUAUGCUUGUCAGAGCUUUUUUUUUUCCUUCUUCUUCAGGGUACUGAUUAGUAUCCCGUUUUGUCUGAUUUGAUACGCUGUUUAUCACAAAAAAGUUUUCCCAAGAACAAAAUAACUGGCGGAUAGUAUACAGGGAGACUCACUUCCCGGUAGUUUUGGUCCCUUUUUCCCCCGGCUAAAAUUGCAACUUGACGGCUUGUGUAAUUGGUCGAUUCCCCAGUCUUGCUUGACCGGAGACCUCCUUGAUCUUUGAGUAGUACACGUGAUGGUUUAAUUAAUAAAGCAAGUCUUGCGUACGGCAUUUAGCCCCCAAGGAAGCUACCAGAACCAGACUGAUCUACAAUUAGUAACUUCUUGUUAUUAUAUAACGUAUUCUAAGAGUUCCAAACUAGCAUUUGCUUUCAGUGACUACUGUUUUUCGAUACAGUUCGGUAUCACCCUGGAACAUGCUAAACUUGUUUGAGCUCAUUCCCUUUACUUUAAUGGUUUGGAUGGCCUCUCCAAGAUUAAUAUAUACACUAUCUUUUGGUGGAUGUUUCUAGCAUAUGCGUGAUCUGUUCAUGCAUGCCUGUGAACACGGGGAGUUCAUUAAUUGACGCUACAGUUUAGUAUGCUACGCUGUCCAUUGCUCGUUUCUUCUUUUUGUGAGGCUCUGUCCAUCGCCUGAAUAUAAUAUAGGAGGAGGAGUAUUCGGGGAUUUCUUUCUCUAUACUUUAUGCCAGCUGCUGUGGUCACACGUUGUCAAGUUUAUCUAUACUUCCAUUACAAGUUACUUUUUUUUUUGCUUGGAGGAUCCUCCAUAUAAUCAUCAUAUUACACAUUGGCCCCCUUUGGAACACGGAUUUUUUUACUGUUCCUGCAUUUUUCAUGUGAAAAAUUAAAUGAACUGAUUCCUGCGUUCCAAAGGGGCCUUGAACAUAAUCUAGCUCAGCUGAUUAAUCAAUCUCACAUCUUUUUUCUUGUCUCGUAGAUUGAUGAACAUGUUCAGAGGGAGAUUAUGAACCACCGGUCCCUGAAGCACCCAAACAUAAUUAGAUUCAAGGAGGUAAAUUUCUGAGACAUCUAUGUUGGAAAGGACAUGUUCUGAUAUGAGUUUGAAGUUGUGUGAUUGAUAGCUACAUACCUAACUGUCUUGAAACUGUUACUUUUGAUGCUUUGUAAACGAGAAAAAAACAAAUAUGUUUCUGUUCUUAUGGUUUCAAGUAAGCCAGCCAACCGAACGGACCCACAUGUAACAGCUAGAGUACAAUAACUGAUAAGCAUUCAUGUGCAAUUAUUUCUUCUCUUCUCCACAAAGACCUAUUCCAGAUAGAAAGUGAUGGCUAUCUGUAGUCCUUUAUUUCCGGUACAGGGAUAAACGGAAUAACGUGGAAGUCUACUUGCAUACUUCUAAGGCCAUGUACAGUGCACAGGCUCUUACAAAAGCGCUUAGAGGGAGAGAGAAAAAAUUACUGCAGCAAGCGUCUCUCAGGUAGCUAAACUUACAAUGGAAAAAUAAAACAAAGGCGCUUAGCUCGUUCGGUACGAACCGUUUUGUGCGGCAGUGAAGCCUGGGAUCAUGCAAGAGCCAGUCUAAGCGCUGCUGCUUUUCCGAGCGUCGGUGCCGUCCGCAAGCGCCUGAUUUGGAUCAGGCUGGAGUACACAUUGGCAAAAAUGCAGCCCAACGGCCCAUAACUGCCCAUAAGCAUCGACCAUUGUAUAGGCCCUAAGGGUUCGUCUGAUGGCAACUCCAGUGUGAUAGUAUCUAUGAUAGAAAAGUCAACAGGCUAACCAGGGUACUUGGUACUUCUAUUUUUUUCCCUAAUAAGUGGGACCAGUUAGGCUCUCCUUUAAAUGCUUAUUGACUUUAUUUUUUUCCCUAAUAAGUCAACGAGUUUAUUUGUUGUCUACAUCCCCAGGACAUUUCAACACAUUGUCAUUGUGUAAUGUAUUUACAGCAGUAAUGCACAUUGUCAUCAAGGCUCCUUUUAUAUCCUUUGCCUGUUGAACGAGAUGUUUGAGCCACACUUGUGAAUAGUGUGCUGGUGAUGGCACGUUUUUAGAUAUGUUUUAUUGUUAUGCGACUCUUAGAACCCCAUUCAUUUACCACUUAUCUCUUUUUUUAAUAAAGGACUUGCCUCUGUCUUGUACUUAUAUCUCUGACUCUAUCUGCUAUUUCUUUCCAUUUCAUCAUUGAACACCUGCUUUGAACUGAUUGUCAAGGUUUAAUCACCAAAAAUCAUUUCUAGGUUGAAAAUUAAAGUAGUACUUAGUUUUUCAGGUCGUGCUAACUCCCACACAUUUGGCAAUAGUUAUGGAAUAUGCUGCUGGGGGUGAACUAUUUGAAAGGAUUUGUAAUGCGGGGAGAUUCAGUGAGAAUGAGGUAAAGAAUGUUCUCCACAAGCUUUUGGUAUUUUGUUAUGACAGAGUAUGUCAUUGCAUCCACUGAUUACUACUUACUCUUAAUAGGCAAGGUUCUUCUUCCAACAACUGAUUUCGGGAGUGAGCUAUUGUCAUUCCAUGGUACAAAUUCUGGCAAGUUGCUUUCAUGUAAUAGCUUUGGUCGAACAUUACUAACUCAGUGCCUUUCCCCUGCAGCAAGUAUGUCAUAGAGACCUGAAACUAGAAAACACUCUCUUAGAUGGUAGUGUUGCACCUCGGCUCAAGAUCUGCGAUUUCGGUUACUCCAAGGUAAUUCCUGUGUAGAUUAUAGUAGUCUCUCAAGGUGUCAUUUUUCAUCACCUGAAGUCCUGAACUACUUCCUUCCUUUUGGGCCCUUUCCAUUUUCAGUCUUCUGUUCUUCACUCUCAACCAAAAUCAACUGUUGGCACACCUGCAUAUAUUGCUCCCGAGGUCCUCUCUAGAAAAGAGUAUGAUGGAAAGGUAAUGUCUGUUGUAUUAGUGCAUUAUUUUGAUGUUCUAAGCAUUGCAACUGAAACCUUGAAACACCGCAUGUGAAAUUUUAGGUUGCUGAUGUUUGGUCUUGCGGAGUCACACUAUAUGUGAUGCUUGUCGGCGCAUAUCCUUUUGAAGACCCUGAUGACCCAAAGAACUUCCGCAAGACGAUCACUGUGAGUACACCAAUACCCCGCUUUUAUGGUUUUCGCAAAAAUCAGAAAGUUAUUUUGUUUAGUAAUAAAUCUGGACAAUGAUAUGGAACUCGUUGGUGUCUUGCACAGAGAAUACUCAGCGUACAGUACUCAAUUCCAGACUAUGUUCGUGUUUCAACGGAGUGCAGACAUCUGCUGUCUCGGAUAUUUGUUGGAAAUCCUGAGCAGGUACUUUUUUUUUCUCCCCUCUUGAAAUAAUUCGGCUUACAAGUGCCAAGCUACAUCAUUUUUAAGUAAUCUGUUACGCUCAUAAUUUGCCUCGCUGCCGCCGCCACAGAGAAUAACCAUUCCUGAGAUCAAGAACCACCCGUGGUUCCUCAAGAACCUGCCCGUGGAGAUGACCGACGAGUACCAGCAGAGCAUGCAGCAGCUGGCAGACAUGAACACCCCGGGGCAGAGCCUGGAGGAGGUCAUGGCGAUCAUCCAGGAGGCGCAGAAGCCAGGGGACGCCGUGAGCCUCGCCGGGCAGCUGCCCUCCUGCCUGGGGAGCAUGGACCUUGAUGACAUUGAUUUGGACGAUAUCGAUGACAUUGACAUCGAGAACAGCGGCGACUUCGUUUGUGCGGUGUGAUGCUCUCAUGCGUGCGUGAUUCAGGUAGCAGAGUAGCAGAGAGCUCCCUUUGGUGGUUGGUGUAUGUCUGUAGAUCCUUGUUGUGUUAUGUUACUUCCAUUCGUUUCUGGAUCACGCAUGUUGUGUAACCGAGAAAUUGGCGUUCCUGUGGACAACAUACAUGAUGAACUUAUAUGCUGAAAUCUACCGAAAAUCCUCUGUGAUCUGCUGAAUGAGCACAUCGGUUCCCCUGCGAUUCCUGUUGCCAAUCUGUAAUGGUACAACCUUGUAUUACUUUAUCGAUCUGCAGUUCAUUUGGAAAGAAUAGAAUCAUUUCAGGGAUCCCAAUAUUAGUAGACAGUUGUGAAUUUUGUUGUCGACAUUGUGAUCCUAACAUAAAUUUAUCACUCUACGCUAGGAGCAAGUUUUUACUACAAGAUAUGAUAGGAAGCUAGUGCAUGCAUACCCGAUCGGAGAAAUGUACUAACAAAAUACAGAGUACAGACAAAAGGUCAUUUAUGACUUUCAUUUUUCGCUCUGUUCGCUUGAGUUUAUUCGUUGAAUCUGAGUGUUUUUCUCUCAUAGCGAACAUUAUUUUCAGCCAUGACUUUCUUGACAGCUCCGAAUUCGGUAGGGAACCUGAGUUUACAAAUUAUACAAAAGACACGAGCAAAACCUUUGUUACUUUCAAUAAAGCACAAUAGUAGAAGGCGUAGUAUACAGUUGCAGUUUGUGAAAUCUUCGACGACGGAAAUGACAGAAACUGCACAAGUCAUUUUUUUCUCUCCCUUCAGCUACAGUAGAGUAUUUUCAAUUGGAGCAGUGAGCCCUAAACAAAAGAACCAGUUAAUGGCGCGCCCGUGCCACGUCACACAACCAAAGAAUGAAGAAGGUGAUCGAUCACCCAUCGUGGAGUGGAGACUGGAGAGACGACGUCGAAGAACGCGAUCAGUCUGACCGGAUCGAUGCGCAAAGCCGGCGGCCACGAACGAACGCAGAUCGGUUGGCUACACGCCACGGGUGUUCUUGGCGGGACGCCCGAGGUCCGCCGCCGGGGCCUACGGCGGCGCCAUCGUCCUCUCGUGCUUGCGAGGCAGCAGGUGCAGCGGCGCGCGCAGGCCCAGCACAACGGUUCGCUCCACCCGUGGCGGCGGCGGCGGCGGCGCUGAUGAGCCGGGUGGUGGCAGCUGAAACGGCUCGAAGACGCGCGCGCGGUGCUCCUCCUCCUCCUCCUCCUUCGGGGCUUGCUGGGCGUACUCGGCGCGGGCGUCGCGCAGCAGCAGGGUCAUGAACAGCUCCAUGGCCUCCUCGUCGCCCACGUUGUCGAACACGUCCUCCCAGCGCUUCACCAGCUCGGCCCUCGACAUGCGCCGCGGGACACCGUCGUCUUUGCCCCCCGCCGCCGCCGCCGCCGCCAUGGCUUCGAGUUCGUGAUGCCGGACGAUCGAUCGUUACGCGUGCUCAGCGCGCGGGGCGGCGCGCUAGCUUGCUGCAAGCGUCGUCGUCGGCGGUGCGCGGAUGUCUAGUUCUUUUCGAUUAGAACUAGGCAGCGAUGGGAGAGUUGCAACGGUGACCGCGUGGUCGUCGGCUUAUAUGGCGGGGAGCACGCGUGCAUGCGGCGGGACGGGACUUAUUCAGAAGCGGACUCGAACUCGGAUCCCACACGGUUCUCAGUUGCGCCGAGUUCGGUGGUUUCGCUUCGGUUUCGGCUUUCCAAAGUGACGUUCGUGAUUUCAUUCUGAUUUCUUCCUACUAUUUGGACAUUACAAACAUAUGGGCGCUGCGCUGCCGCGCCUGUAAUAGAUUUGCCCGACGUUGAAUUUGCUUUUCGUCUACCAGUGGAAAUUGUAGGAAGAGGAGUAAUGAUACUAGGCACCCGAUCGAGAAAAAAAAAUUUCUUUUCAUUAUAUAUGCAUAAAGUAUUAAAUAUAGAUAAAAAAUAUCUAAUUAUAUAGCUAGUUUACAUGUAAUUUGCAAGACGAAUCUUUUAAAACUAAGUAAUCUAUGAUUGAACACUAAUUGCUAAAUAAAACGAAAUGCUACAGUAGCCUAAUCUAAAAAUUUUCAUGACCUAAACAAGCCCUAUCUGAUGCUACAGUAGUGACCCAGAACUCAACCGCUGCACUGUACAGGCACUUGAAAAAUUUGUAUAUACUAUCCAAUCAUGUGACUCACUACUAAAAUCGAGAACUGCAUUGUGUUCCUAAAAUUUGUAUACUAUGCAUACUUCGGUACGAUUUCACUACUGAAACCGAGUACUCGUUGGGCAAUGGGCACCCAGUUUCCCACUUAUCGUAAAUUUAAAUUUAAAUGACCAUCUCACUAACAUUUUGCCCUGGCAGGUCUCUGCAUUACGCUUCUGUUGGAGAUUUGGGUUGAUCAAACUCGGCGCUGACGACUUCGACAAGCAAUUCUGGGUCAUGUACGUCCAAGGACUCAAGGUGUUCUUGGUCCGAAUGGUGUUCCUCGGCGCUGCUGCCGCCUCCAACCCAAAGGCGCAACCAAGUCGUCGUGGUGGAGGAGAUCGGCGAGAACUCCAUCACGAUGUCGAUCUCCCUAAAGUACAAUCAGAGAGGCCAAGGAAAUAGGCAAUAGUCUGAUUUUUUUUUUAGUUCGGAAGGAGCUAUUUUGAGUGUCACAUCAGAUGUUGACGGAAAUUUUAUUUACAAGAUGUUCUAGCACAUUUUGAUGAAGGUACGAUUGUGAAAUAAAAUUACGCUGCAGAAAUCUUGUAUGACUAGAAGCAUUGGGCGGCUUUGUCGUGCCGUUCAUGGUGCUGGCCAGUGUAUCAUUGCUGAUGGGGCCGGUGUGAGGUGUAUAUUUUGGUCUCUUCACUUGCUGACCAUAACUUGUCUGAUUGAAUCGUUUCAGUUUCGUGUCCUAUAAUAGUAAUUCUCUAAUUGUAUAUUGAACCCAUGUUUUAAUCAAUCUUGAUCCUGUACUGAGUGCAUAAAUUACUUGGACCAAACUGAGUACACAGUUAGAUUAGUAGGAGGAAGUACUAAAAUAUUGCAUUUUUUAAGUUCAACGGGGGGUAGUGUACAGUAUAUGACGAGGUCACAAUAUGCUGUUGGAUAGCAAGCUGCGCUAUGCUACGCGGGUGCUCAAAAGCUGGAGUUCGACUAAGAUUGGCAGCGUCCGGUUUCAACUUGCACUGGUGCGCGAGUUGCUGCUACGCUUUGAUGAGGCACAAGAUUGCAGAGUGUUAUCGACACGUGAAUUUGAACUACGAAAAAAAAUUAAAACCACGAACCUUCGGCCUUCACGUCACUAGCAAGAACGAUAGCCAGAUAGAGGUCCUGCCUGCUGUUCUUAGCCGAGGGGGAUGCCAACACAAAAUUCUUCAACUUACAAGCUUGCCACAAGAAGAGAAAGGGCAGAAUUGACUCUCUCACGGUGGAGGGAUCUCUGGUUGUGAGCAGCGAGGCAAUGGCCAUAGCUCUGUAGUAGGAAACGCUUUGUGCAUCUUUUGUGACCAAGCAGCGGAGACAAUGGACCAUAUUAUUUUAGGAUGUGUUUUCAGCAGGGAAGUCUGGAAUCUGUGCCUUAGUUCUUUUUGACUAUAAAAUCUGAUGAACAUCCAGGAGAUGGACACCAUGGAGUGGUGGAUCAGCAGUAGGAAAUGCUUGCCCAAACUAUCCAUUGAGGUUUUGACUCACUGGUGUUUCUAGUCAGUUGGAGCCUCUAGAAAGAGCGAAAUGCACAUACUUUCACUAGAAAAACAAGCCAACCAAUGACACUCCUUCAAACCAUCCUUCAAGUGUCCAUGUGGAUAGCUGCAGGUUUCAGAGCCCUGGGAGCUGUCCACGCCCUUCUUGUUUAGGGCUGGUGGAGUUAGUCGUUUUUUAUGUCCUAAUGUAAUCUCAACUUUAAACUCUUGUGAGCUUGGUGUGUUUCGGUAAUCUUUGGAUUACCGUGAGUUGUACUUUAACUAUCUUUUUCUUUUUAAUGAAAUACAAUGCCAUGCAUGUUCUCAAAAAAAAAAAAAAAACAUAAGGUGAAGAUAUAACUGUCAUGGUCUACCAAUCAAAUGAGAUCUAGUACAAUAGCAUAGUAGUUGUUCUUUACCACGAAGCUAGAAAAGCUAUUUUGGAAGCGGUCUGAUAAAACUACCAAUGCAAAAACCAUGGCAGCAGGAAUCACAACUUUGGGACGAAAGAGGUGGUACUCCAGCACCACCCAAUUGUAUUUCUAUUGCAUUCUUCCCUUUUUUUUACCGGUAAUGCCAAAUCUAGCAGUUGCACAAAUAUUAAUAACAGUUAAUAAUCAUAAUGCAAGUAAUCAAAUAAUGGGGAAACUGAUUGCAGCUUACGUCUAAAUCUCGAAACCUACUUCUUCACUUUCUUCAUUAGAAAAAAAUGUGGAAUACCUUCCAUCGACAGGAACGAGCGGGUAUCACCUAGUUAAUAUAAAAGGGCAGUUCUCUGCCAGUUUUACAUAUAGAGUAUAAUUUAACAGUUUACAUACUGCAGAAUUAUCUGCCUACUGCCCAGGAAAAUAUGAACAUGCCGUGUCAAGCCUUCGUUAUUUUUCUACUAUAUUCGAAGUUACAUUUGUCGGAGGAACAACAUACAUGUCUGUUUAGAAGGUUUUCUUUGUCUUGCUGGUGUUAGUUAUGUUGCGCGAACUACAGAGUGCAUGACUCCUGGUACCGAUUCAGCUCUCCCCAGACUAAGUUUUCAACAUCCUCCCAGGACGUUGCAGCCCUCAGCUCCUUCCACAAGCCGAAUAUAGCUCCCAAAACAUUGUCCUCGUGUAGUAUACAGUAGCACCUGCAAAGAAAAAAAUGCUAGAUGAGAAUGUUGCUACUGUUUUGCCCAAAGGGCAGCCACCAUUUUGCUACUUCCACUGAUGUGGUAUAUCAGUCGCGCCCUCGCGUAUAACAGAACAUGAUGGGUGAGACUUCUGUUGAAAAUCCUAUGUGGCUAUGUGUAACACUAGUGACUUUCAAAGUGCAAAGAAAUUGGAGACAGACAGAACCAAACAUGGUGGCAAUAAUCCAUUGACCUGGGAUAUAGAUAUAGCAAACAGAAUGGUAAAACAUAUAUGAAGAA
RNAcentral lists this long non-coding RNA (53023 nucleotides) under Sorghum bicolor (sorghum). Its description in RNAcentral is "long non-coding RNA (SBIC_LNC001553)". Lineage: Eukaryota; Viridiplantae; Streptophyta; Magnoliopsida; Poales; Poaceae. The record is from RNAcentral.